AUGCCGACACGUCAUCCUCCACUAGUGGUAGCAUGGAACGAAACACAGAUGUGUCCUCCUCAACUAGUGGUGGCGAGGAACAAAACGACAACGUGUGACCCUCUGCGUGGGGCAGCCAGGGGCACCUAGGGCUAGGGAGGGGCGAUACCAUGGUGGUCGACGAGUCCGUAAUUGAGAGGUAGGGGAGGUGAUAAAGGCAAUGAAUGUGAGCGUUCUUCCGAAUGUCAUGGGAGGUGCAUUAUUUAUAGCGAGCAAUGUCACACCUACGUAAGAUAUGUUGUGUGAUUAACGUAAGAGCUAGGUGGGCAUAUUUUUGUUGGAGGGAAUUACGGGGGAACGAUGGAGAUAUUGCUUAUCACAAUGGUUUCGGGUUUCAGCAUGAGGAGAUUGGACGAGCGUGCGAGGGAGGAGAGUCAUUCAUGCAGGUUUUCACAUGAGGGGGUGGUGGGACUGCGGGAGGGAGAAGGAGAGUCAGGCUUGCAGAUUGUUUUUACACAUGUUGAUGGAAAGAUUUGGAGGCGAACGGGUUUCCUGGUAGGGUGAACGAGAAAAUUGAAUCAAGAGGCGGUUGAGGUUAAUGAGGUGCAGUAUAAUCAGUACUCAUAAAUAGUACGACUGGGAUUCAAACUGUGGCCACUAAAGUGAGGACAACCAAUGCCUACCGCUACGCUAAGCAAAGGAAUACGAUUUAGGCCGAUUCCUUAAUUUUCUUAUACGUUCAGUUUUUUUUCAAAUGAAGGCAAAAGCUUUGCCUCAUCUCAUUAAAUAAGAAGGAGGAGAACAAAGUUUUAGUUGUUACAGGGGCACGCAGGCCCAGCCAAAAGGGGUUACUCUCCCGGGCAAAUGUUUCCCAACGAUCUAGUCCCGGAAAUUACCCAAGUGUUCGCGACGUCCAUGACUGUCGCUGCCACCCUGGUUGGCGGGAGGCCUUGUUAUGCAUAUACAUUCAAUUUGAAAAUAAUGAAAUAAUUUAAACAAAAAACAAAUAUUUUGAGGACCCUCAAAAUGAGCAAAAUUUUGUCGAUUUUUUUCCAUUGGCGAAGCUUAUAGCUAACCUUGUUGUAUGAGUGACUAUUAGUGAUGACUAUAUAUGGAUGGCAACAUCCUAUAACCUAACGCACCUGGACGAAGAAAGUAGUAGUAUCAUGCAUGCGAUGAUGCAAAGUAGGCAAAAGAAAUUGCUCAUUUAUAGCGAUCACAUGAGCGAGGCGACGGUUACGGGAGGCGUGACGCUUGGCGGAAUUAAGUCAAAGUUGCAUGCACACGCCGACCGGCAUGGCGUGCAAACACACGGAUGCUAUACCAUCAGGCCUACUACUUGUUCUACUACUAGUAGAUAUGACAUCUAGUGGGUCCCCGAUAGUGCUCGAGAACUUUGUGGGGGCAUGCAACCAUUUAUCUUACGAGGCAAGCCACUGCCCCACACUGUUCGCAUGCCUUACACAACACUUUUACAAUCGGAAAACCAUUAGCAGUUUGCUCCUACUCGUCCCCAUCUUUUACAGCAGUUCGCUCCAAGUCGUCCCGUCCUUUCACAUUACAGCAGUUCCACUUCUCCUAACUCUCCCCUAAAAUCCAUGGCCUCCCAAAUCUCCAUGAUCGGUGCUGAGUACAAGGUUAAAAUCAUCACCGGUGAUGAGUUCGACGUCAUCUACACCCGUAGAUCCAUGACUGUGGAAGCAUGCCUUGGUCGCUUCCAACACAUGUUCGAAAGUUCAAAGGAUGAGUGGGUCGCUAGGCUACAUGUUGAGUACACCACAGUCCUGGAAAAGGAGAAGCUUCUAAAGGAGGAAGAGAAGAAGAAGCCUGCCAUGGUCCAGGUUUGCAUACAUAACAUGUGCUUUGUCUCCCACAUAUGCCAUGACGAUGUUAGGUGUCAGAAUUUGAAGGACUUCCUCAAGGACAAAAGAGUGAAAUUCGUUACUGUAGACUUUAGGAAUGAUAAGGAUAUCCUGGGUCGGAUAGGCCUCGUUGUAGGCCAGCCCUUCGAUCUCUAGAAGGAAAGCCUGGUGUCCUCCUCUCAACCUUCAAUGCAGACCCUGGCAGGAGCCAUGGUUGAUCCUUCGUACGGUAAACUUGAGAAACAUGGCCACGAGUUUCAUCGUGCCUGGUAGUCAAAGACAAUAGAUAAAGAUCACAUCAUGUACGUUGCAACGGAUGCCUACCUUUGUUUAAAUAUCUACAAGAGUUGGAUGAAGAAGAGCCUAGUGUCCGGUUCAAGCAAAGAAGUAUCGGCGAAGAGGAAGAGGAAGAGGGAUGAGGACGAGGUCGAGGACGUGGAUGAGGACUACGAGUAAGGUGGCAGUGUCGUUGCUCAUGCUGGUUCUAUUGAAGUGUCAAGUGGACUAGUUGCUUAGUUUUAUUUCAGGGGUGUGUUGUGCUGAGCCCCUAGCAGAACUAUGUUAUGUUCUUUCUCGUUAUUUUAACUCUUUAGUACGUACUAGUAUGUCUUACAGCUCAUCUUGUAGUUGGUACUACUUGAUACGUCCAUUUUGCAUCAUGUUUUCCUACUGUUAUUUAUGAUGUUUUUAUGCAUAAUAAUGUUUUUUUUGAGUAAUUCUAAUGCCUUUUCUCUCAUAAUAUGCAAGGUACACACGAAGGAGAAUUUCGGCAGCUAGAAAUAUGGACCUGGAAAAGCUACGUCAAGCUAGCUAUUCUGUACAACUCCAAACAAGCUGAAACUUUACGGAGAAUUUUUAUGGAAUAUAUGAAGAAUAUUGGAGCAAAUAAGUAUUAGAGGGGGCCAGCCUGGUGGGUUGUGCUCACCCAGGCUCACCUCCGGUGGCCAUCUUCUGGUAUAUAGGUCAUUUUAAUCUAGAAAAAAUAAGGGGAGGCCUUUCGGGAUGGAGCGCCACUGUCUUGAGGCGGAAUUUGGGCAGGAGCACUUUUGCCCUCCGACGAAGCGAUUCCGCCGGGGGAACUUCCCUCCCGGAGGGGGAAAUCAUCAUCAUCAUCACCAACAACUCUCCCAUCUUGGGGAGGGAAAUCUCCAUCAACAUCUUCAACAGCACCAUCUCAUCUCGAACCCUAGUUCAUCUCUUGUGUUCAAUCUUGUUACCGGAACUAUAGAUUAGUGAUUGUGGGUGACUAGUAGUGUUGAUUACAUCUUGUAGUUGAUUACUAUAUGUUUACUUGGUGGAAGAUUAUAUGUUCAGAUCCAAUAUGCUAUUUAAUACCCCUCUGAUCUUGAGCAUGUUUAUCACUUGUGAGUAGUUACUUUUGUUCUUGACGUCACAGGAGAAAUCAUGUGAACUUGAUAUGUGUUUGAUAUUUUGAUAGUAUGUAUGUUGUGACUCCCUUAGGGGUGUCACGUGAACGUUGACUACAACACUUCGCCAUAUUUGGGCCUAAGGGAAUGCAUUGUGGAGCAGUUAUUAGAUGAUGGGUUGCGAGAGUGACAGAAGUUUAAACCCUAGUUUAUGCGAUAUUCUGUAAGGGACCGAUUGGAUCCAAAAGUUUAAUGCUAUGGUUAGAAUUUAUUCUUAAUACUUUUCUUGUAGUUGAGGAUGCUUGCGAGGGGGGUUAAUCAUAAGUAGGAGGUUUGUUCAAGUAAGAACAGCACCUAAGCACCGGUCCACCCACAUAUCAAAUUAUCCAAGUAGCGAACAUGAAUCGAAUCAACAUGAUGAAAAUGACUAGAUGAAAUUCCCGUGUACCCUCAAGAAUGCUUUGCCUAUUAUAAGAGACUGUUUUGGCCUGUCCUUAUCGUCAAAAGGAUUGGUCUACCUUGUUGCACACUUUUGCUAUUAUUAUCAUUACUUGCUCGUUACAAAUUAUCUUGCUAUCAAACUACUUUGUUACUUACAAUUUCAGCACUUGCAGACAUUACCUUAUUGAAAACCACUUGUCAUUUCCUUCUGCGCCUCGUUGGGUUCGACACCCUUACUUAUCGAAAAGAGCUAAAAUUGAUCCCCUAUACUUGUGGGUCAUCAAGGCUAUUUUCUGGCGCCGUUGUCAGGGAGUGAAGCGCCUUUGGUAAGUGGAAUUUGGUAAGGAAACAUAUAUAUAGUGUGAUGAAAUUUACUAUCACUUGUUACUAUGGAAAACAAUCCUUUGAGGGGUUUGUUCGGGGUAUCUUCACCUUGACUCGAAGCCCAAUUAGCUACCCCUCAACCUACUGUACCUACUAAAAAUAUUGAAUAUGAAAUUCCUUCAGGUAUGAUAGAACAACUGCUAGCUAAUCCUUAUGCAGGAGAGGAACCGAACAUCUUGAUAUGCACUUGAUAUAUGUGGAACAAAUUUGUGGAUUGUUUAAACUUGCAGGUUUACCCAGAGAUGAAGUUAAUAAGAAGGUUUUCCUUUUAUCUUUGAAGGUAAAAGCAUUGGCAUGGUAUAGGCUAUGCAAUGAUAUUGGAUCUUGGAAUUGGUAUCGGUUGAAAUUGGAGUUCCACCAAAACAAUUAUCCCAUGCAUCUAGUUCAUCAUGAUCGGAUUUACAUAUAUAAUAUUUGGACUCGUGAAGGAGAAAGUAUCGCUCUAGCUUGGGGGAGGCUUAAGUCAAUGUUAUAUUCAUGCCCCAAUCAUGAGCUCUCAAGAGAAAUUAUUAUCCAAAAAUUUUAUGCUCGGCUUUCUCAUAAUGAUCGAUCCAUGCUUGAUACUUCUUGUGCUGGUUCUUUUAUUAAGAAGACUAUUGAAUUCCGAUGGGAUAUUUGUAAAGAAUUAAACGCAACUCUGAAGAUUGGGAACUCGACGAAGGUAAAGAGUCGGGUAUUAGGCUUAAGUAUGAUUGUGUAAAAUCUUUUAUGAAUACCGAUGCUUUUCAAAAGUUCAGCACUAAAUAUGGACUUGACUCUGAGAUAGUAGCCUCCUUUUUUGAAUCAUUUGCUACUCAUGUUGAUCUCCCUAAAGAGAAGUGGUUUAAAUAUCACCCACCUAUUAAAGAAGAAAUUAAAGAACCGGCACUAGCUAAGGAAGAAACUAUACUUUAUAAUGUUGAUCCAGUUGUUCCUACUGCUUAUAUUGAGAAACCACCUUUCCCUGUUAGGAUAAAAGAACAUGCUAAAGUUUCAACUGUGGUCAACAAAAGUUAUAUUAGAACACCUAAACCUGAUGAACAAAUUAAAGUAGAACCUAGUGUUGCUAUGGUUAAGGACCUCUUGGAAGAAAAUGUACAUGGGCAUGUUAUUUACUUCUGUGAAGAAGCUGCUAGAAUUGUCAAAUCUCAUAAACAGGAUAAACAUAGACCUGUUGUUGGCAUGCCCGUUGUCUCAGUUAAAAUACGAGAUCACUGUUAUCAUGGUUUAUGUUACUUAGGUGCUAGCGGGAGUGCUAUUCCUUAUUCCUUAUAUAAAGAAAUUAUGAAUGAAAUAGCACCUACAGAGAUAGAAGACAUAGAUGUUACUAUUAAACUUGCUAAUAGAGACACCAUAUCACCAAUUGGGAUUGUUAGAUAUGUUGAAGUCUUGUGUGGGAAAAUAAAAUACCCCACUGACGUUCUUGUUCUUGGUUCCCCACAAGAUGACUUUUGUCCCAUUAUCUUUGGUAGACCUUUCUUGAACACCGUUAAUGCUAAGAUAGAUUGUAAGAAACAAAUUGUCGGUGUUAGUUUUGGUGAUGAGUCUCAUGAGUUUAAUUUUUCCAAGUUUAGUAGAAAGCUUCAUGAAAAAGAAUUGCCUAGUAAGGAUGAAAUAAUUGGUCUUGCUUCUAUUGUUGUGCCUCCUACUGAUCCACUAGAACAAUAUUUGCUAGACCAUGAAAAUGAUCUACAUAUGCAUGAAAGAAAUGAAAUAGAUAAGAUUUUCUUUGAACAACAUCCUCUGCUUAAACACAAUUUGCCUAUUGAAACUCUAGGAGGUCCUCCUCCACCUAAAGGUGAUCCUGUGCUUGAAUUAAAACAAUUGCCAGACACUUUGAUAUAUGCUUAUCUUGAUGAAAACAAGAUACAUCAUGUUAUUAUUAGUGCUAACCUUUCAGAACAUGAAGAAGAAAGAUUAUUGAAAGUUCUAAGGAAGCACCGAGCUGCUAUUGGAUAUACUCUUGAUCAUUUAAAGGACAUUAGUCCCACUCUAUGUCAGCACAAAAUUAAUCUGGAAUCUGGUGCUAAACCCGUUGUUGAUCACCAACGUCGGUUAAAUCCGAAGAUGAAAGAAGUGGCAAGGACGAAAAUAUUAAAACUUCUAGAAGCAGGUAUAAUCUAUCCUAUAGCUGAUAGUAGAUGGGUAAGUCCUGUUCAUUGUGUCCCUAAGAAAGGAGGUAUUACUGUUAUUCCUAAUGAUAAGAAUGAACUUAUUCCACAAAGAAUUGCUACAGGCUACAGAAUGGUAAUUCAUUUUGGAAAAUUAAAUAAAGCAACUAGAAAAGAUCAUUACCGUCUGCCUUUUAUUGAUCAAAUGCUAGAAAGAUUAUCUAAGCACACACAUUUUUGCUUCCUUGAUGGAUAUUCUGGUUUUUCACAAAUACAUGUUUCUCAGCCUGAUCGAGAAAAGACCACUUUCACUUGUCCUUUUGGAACUUAUGCUUAUAGACGUAUGCCUUUUGGUUUAUGCAAUGCACCUGCUACCCUUCAAAGAUGUAUGACUGCUAUAUUCUCUCACUUUUUUGAAAAGAUUGUUGAGGUUUUCAUGGAUGACUUCUCUGUUUAUGGGAAGUCUUUUGAUGAUUGUUUAAGCAAUCUUGACCGAGCUUUGUAGAGAUGUGAGCAAACAAAUCUCGUCUUGAAUUGGGAGAAGUGCCACUUUAUGGUUAAUGAAGGUAUUGUUUUGGGCCAUAAAAUUUCUCAAAAAGGUAUUGAAAUGGACAAAGCUAAGGUUGAUGCGAGAAAAUGCCAUGUCCUAAAGACAUCAAAGGUAUUCGUAGUUUCCUAGGUCAUGCUGGUUUCUAUAGGAGAUUUAUCAAAGACUUUUCUAAAAUUUCUAGGCCUCUUACAAACCUUUUGCAAAAGGAUGUUCCUUUUGUCUUUGAUGAUGAUUGUUUAGAAGCCUUCGAAACACUCAAGAAAGCCUUAAUUUCUGCACCUAUUGUUCAACCACCUGAUUGGAACUUGCCUUUUGAAAUCAUGUGUGAUGCUAGUGAUUAUGUUGUUGGCGCUAUUCUAGGACAAAGAGUUGAUAAGAAACUGAAUGUCAUUCAUUAUGCUAGUAAAACUCUAGACACUGCUCAACGAAAUUAUGCUACUACUGAAAAAGAAUUCCUAGCAGUGGUGUUUGCUUGUGAUAAAUUUAGAUCUUACAUUGUUGAUUCAAAAGUAAUUGUUCACACCGAUCAUGCUGCUAUAAAAUAUCUUAUGGAAAAGAAAGAUGCUAAACAUAGACUUAUUCUAUGGGUUCUCUUGCUACAAGAAUUUUAUUUACAUAUCAUUGAUAGAAAAGGAGCUGAGAACCUCGUAGCUGAUAACUUGUCUAGGCUUGAAAAUGUGCUUAAUGACCCACUACCUAUUGAUGAUAGUUUUCCUAAUGAGCAGUUAGUUGCAAUAAAUGUUUCUCAUAACACUCCUUGGUAUGCUUACUAUGCUAAUCACAUUGUUGCUAAAUAUUUACCACCUAGCUUUACAUACCAACAAAAUAAAAAAAAUCUUCUAUCAUUUAAGACAUUACUUUUGGGAUGACCCACAUCUUUAUAAAGCAAGAGUAGAUGGUAUUAUUAGACGUUGUGUACCUGAGCAUGAACAGGGACAAAUCCUAAGGAAAUGUCACUCCAAAACAUAUGGAGGGCAUCAUGCUGGAGAUAGAACUGCUCACAAGGAUGCCCGUAAGUUCGUCUUAUGUUGUGAUGAAUGCCAAAGAAUAGGUAAUAUCGAUAAGCAUCAAGAAAUUCCUAUGAACUAUUCACUUGCUAUUGAAUCAUUUGAUGUUUGGGGAUUUGAUUACAUGGGUCAUUUUCCUUCCUCUAAUGGGUAUACACAUAUUUUGGUUGUUGUUGAUUAUGUUAUUAAGUGGGUAGAAGCUAUUCCAACCACUAGUGUUGAUCACAACACCUCUAUUAAAAUGCUUAAGGAAGUUAUUUUCCCAAGGUUUGGAGUCCCUAUAUAUUUAAUGACCAGAGGGGGCCACCCCGGUGAGCACAAGACACCAGGGCGCACCUGGGGCAACAGGCGCACCCUGGUGGGUUGUGCUCACCCAGGCCCACCUCCGGUGGCCAUCUUCUGGUAUAUAGGUAAUUUUGACCUAGAAAAAAAUAAGGGGAGGACUUUUGGGAUAGAGUGCCACCGUCUCAAGGUGGAACUUGGGCAGGAGCACUUUUGCCCUCUGGUGGAGCAAUUCCGUUGGGGGAACUUCCCUCCCAGAGGGGGAAAUCAUCAUCAUCAUCAUCACCAACAACUCUCCCAUCUUGGGGAGGGCAAUCUCCAUCAACAUCUUGAACAGCACCAUCUCAUCUCAAACCCUAGUUCAUUUCUUGUGUUCAAUCUUGUUAUCGAAACUAUAGAUUGGUGCUUGUGGGUGACUAGUAGUGUUGAUUACAUCUUGUAGUUGAUUACUAUAUGGUUUACUUGGUGGAAGGUUAUAUGUUAAGAUCCAUUCUAUUUAAUACCCCUCUGAUCUUGAGCAUGUUUAUCACUUGUGAGUAGUUACUUUUGUUCUUGAGGUCACGGGAGAAAUCAUGUUGCAAGUAAUCAUGUGAACUUGAUAUGUGUUCGAUAUUUUGAUAGUAUGUAUGUUGUGAUUCCCUUAGUGAUGUCAUCGGAAUGUCGACUACAUGACACUUCACCCUAUUUGGGCCUAAGGGAAUGCAUUGUGGAGUAGUUAUUAGAUGAUGGGUUGUGUCGUGGAAUUGUCACGGCAGAUGUCCUUAGUGUCAGGACUUAGUCGUGAGGCCAAAGCAUCUAUGUGGUAGCUUGAGAGGGGUUGAGCGGAAUCGAGAGACGCAACACAAGACAGAGAUUUAGACAGCUUCGGGCCCCGGGAAACAUCAUCCGGUAAUAGCCCUACAUGCUGUUUGAGGCUAGUUCUCAUUAUAAUCACGAGGGAGUCGCCGUAAACCGGCUCUCCUCUUUGUGUCUAGCCCUAAGAUUGUUUCUUGCUUGUCGCUUCUCCCUCUUUGGGGAGCCCUGCCCCUCCUUAUAUAUGUUGAAGGGGCGGGUUACAUGUGGAGUCCUACUAGGAUUAGGACUAGUCUAUCUCUAAUACAAACCGGAUACAAGUCCUGGUCUUAACUCCUUGUAAGGUAAAUAUUCCUCAUGACUUUCCUCUUAAACCGGCCCACAAUAGUUGAACCUGCCUUCAUGAACCGCCAGACGGGCCACCGGGUCUUGUCGCUCCUCUGACCCGUCCGCCGGGUCACCAGUGAGUUACAACGUCCUGGCGGGUUGCUGGUAAAUUGCCAGGUCUGGGUGGGUUACCAAAUGAAUAUCGCCAAGUGCCAGCGGGACCUCAAAUAAACCGCCAAGUCUGGCCGGGUUAACUUCCGGCCGGUUUACUCCGCGGGGUAUAUCCCCGACAUUAGCCCCCAAGUUUAGCUUGGAUUUAUCCAUGGUAAACUUAUGCUGCAAAAUAAACACCAAAACAAAUUUGGUAGGUUGUGCUUCGGGCUAAGAAUUUUUGUAGACCGGCACCUGAUCGUCCUUAAGUCCUUUGUCAUUUCCUCCUUCUAGAAAAUCCGGGUCAAUAACCAGCUUCAUACUCAAAUUGCUGAUGUUGGCUUCUUAUAGAAAAAAUAUUGUGAAGAAUAAUCCACUUGAGUCGGCUUCCAAAGCGCCGGUUUAAGAAAUAUUGGUCUUGAAAUACUCAUCUGACAUUCAACCGGUUUGAAGAUGCAAAACUUGCCGGUUUUAUCAUUGCCAAAGACUGUCGGGUUAUAAAAACUUGAUAAUUUCGAGUCAUGAUUGUUGCAGACACCGGUUCAUGAUUGUUGCCAAUGCCAGUUCAUGAUUAUUAAUGACGCCGGGUUGCAGCCACAGGGUCAUAAUGAUUGGUGACGCCGGGUCAACCUAGUUUGCUCAAUCAGAGAAUUUGAAAACAUUUCUUCAAUAAUAAUAUAAUACCUGUAGCCCCCAAGUCUUGAGCAGAACAAAGUGAUUGCUUAAGACUUGCUUCAAUAUAAAUACUGCCACUUAAGAAGAAAUCCAUGUUGUUCAUCCCAGUCACUUAGUAAAAACUGAAUACUCCAUAUUAUAUAGCCCCCAAGUGUCGGGUUGUCAUGCUUGCAGCAACCUGGGACUUGUAAUUGUCUUAUACUCAUAAAAACUUCAACCAGUGUAGCCCCCAAGGGCCGGGUCAUUAUGCAAUAAUGAGCAGGGACUUUGUAGGUAUAAUCAUGUAGAUUUGAGCAAUGAUGUGUAGCCCCCAAGGGCCGACUCGGUAAGAUAAUAUUAAGUUGGGACUUAAUAUAUACUUCAAUGAAAAUAACAUCAUAUGAUGUAACCCUCAUCAUGGGACUUGAAUCUACGUCCACAAGGUUAAGAGCCUUGUGCUUUACCAACUGAGCAGUGGACCCUUCAAUAUAAUGAAUAAAAAGCUUUGUACCUUCAACUGUUGACAGGAGCAAUUGGUAGCCCCCAAUGGCCAACUCGUUAUAAUGUGAUGAGUCGGGUCUUCAAUAAUAUGAACAAAAAAAUUACUUUGCAUUAGCCCACAAGUGUCAUGGUGCAUGCUUGCAGCGACAUGAGACUUGCAUAUUUGAUAUAAUCUCAACUUAAAUAAUGUAGCCCACAAGUGCCGGGUCGUAAGCCUGCAGCGACUCGGGACUAUUCCUUCCAUUGUAGAAUAAAUCAUAUCCUUUGAUAGAAUAAUAGCCAUUGCGCUAAAGCGACUUUGAAAACCUCAAUAAUACCGGUUAUUAAUAACCAUAAUAGAAAUCUAGCCAUGUUGGCUAUUCAAGAUAAUAUAAUCUGGUAUGAAAAACCUUAUUCAUUCAAUAUCAUAAUAAAAAUUCAGCCAAGUUUGGCUAUUUGAAUAAUAUAACCCAAUGAUUUAUAAGCGCAUGAUUCCAAUGGCGCAAUCCAAAUAUGUACUGGCGACUUAUAGUCCAAAGCCAGGCCGGGUUAACAAACACCGGAUAAUUUCUCAUCAUAUACUGGCGACUUAUCGUCUUAAAGCCAGGCCGGUUUAAUAAACACCGGAUAAUUUAUCAUCAUGCUUUAUUCAACCUGUCUCUGCAUACAACAAGUUUAAAGUGUCCUGGCGGUUUACCGCCGGACGGGUCAUAAUGCCCAACAUAUAACCCAGGUUUAUAACCAAGGCUACACUUAAGAAUAAUCAAUGAAAUAUAUCAUACCUGUGACAUUGAAUCACAUCAUUGGUUUACCAAAUUUUUGUAGUAAUGGUGCUAACUCCUUUCAUACUGUGUCGGUUUAUGAUAAACCGUACCGGGUUGUGAUAAACACCGGUUUAACCAUAUAUAAUAUUGGUGACUCGUAGUCAAACCAGACCGGGCGGAUAGUCUCUGGAUUAUGAUUUGAUCAUGUACUGACAAUUUGUAAUUGACAGUUUGAAACGGAUUAACAAUGUCGGUUUAAAAAUGCAACAAAAAUCAAAUAACAGUUAUGAAAAAAUAUGGAAGCAAAGGCAAUGAUAAGACCGUUUGCAAAAAGAGGCUUUACUGAGCCGAUCAGAUGGUGUUACCAUGGUCGGACACGACCAAGCUCCCAAUAAGGUGUAGCUAUGGUUCAAGUCAGCCAGGUCCCCAACUGAAACCGUGGCAUUAUGUCGAUCAAGUGGCGUGGCAAUGGUUCGGGUUCGACCAAGCCCCCAAGUGACUCUAUGGCCUUAGGCCGAUCAAGAGGCGUGACUGGUUCAGACUUGACCAUGUCCCCAAGUGAUCUGGUGGCUUUCGCCUAUCAAAAGGUGUUGCAUUGCUUCGGACACGACCAAGCCCCCAAGUGAUGUUGUGGCACUAGGCCGAUCAAGAGGCGUGGCUAUGGUUUGUAUACGAUCAAACCCCCAAGUGAUCAAUAAUAUGAUAAGCCAAUAAGGCAUGAUACCCAUGUUUGGACCGCACAUCAUGGCAGCAGGUCCUCUUUGGCACCCUUUAACUUUUUGCAAGAGAUAAAUCCUUCUUGAACCGGGAUUUUGAACCGGAUUUUAGAGCUUCAAAGCUUUGUGGGAGAUACCUUCCCCUUGAGCCGGAUUUUAAACCGGAACCCUCUUUUUAAGCCAGAAAUUUUCUGAUGGCCUUUAAAUUUGCACCAAUAUGGCAGUUUAGGGUCCUGCAUUAGACAACUUUGCAGACCAAAGUAAUUGCUCUUUUUAAAGAAGGCAAUAUAAAAUAUAAAAUAUAUUGGAUGGAUUUCACCUGAUAUAUCAUGCCAGGGGUUAUUCACCGUGGAGUUGAUGAUCACCAUGGUAAAGCUGAAAUUAAUGACGGCCGAGUCGGCACGGUGUUGUGAACCGGUGCGGACGAGCGGAUCAAUCGUAGGCGCGGUAAGCCGUGCAGACGGGCGAGUCAACCGCAAGCGCGGUCCCGGCAAUUUGAUGUAAAUCGAGCUGUACGGGCGGUGGUUUGUGCACACCUGUUCAACAGCAAGCUGGCGCAGACGCUGGUGCAUGAUGAUGCUAACACACACUCCAUAUGCACAGCAUGACACCACCUUUAUAAUAACUAAUUGUCCUGCACACAAAAUUAUACAGACCAAAGUAAUUGCUCUUUGACAAAAACAAUGUAUGCUAAUAAACUUAGAUGGAUAUCACCUGGUGUUUGCAGAUAGCAAACGGCUUUGGAUGACGAAUGGUCCGUUCAACGCAACAGAGGCGGCGGCUUAACCCACUACACCGGUCGGCUUAGACGGACCCUCCGGGUCAUGUCUGGCGGUUCAAGGCGCGGGCAACUAGUAAGGCCGCGGCAGCGGCAGUGGCUCGACACAGCGGCCCAAGGCGGCCACUUUGAAACGAAGGCAAGGCCAAACCGGGGUUAGCAGCUUCUGCACUAUGUUUUCAUGAUGACAGUUGUAGUUUCCAUCUUCAGUAGAUUUGACUGAUUCUCUAAGCUCGAACCUGAAGCAUGGCUGCAAUUUGCACUUGUCUUUUGUCUGAUCUCAGAGAGCCAUACUAAUUUAACUCCCGCAGGAUUUGUACGAUACAAAGAGUAGGAGCCCAACGUAUUUAAUCCUCGGUGUUGGAGUAUAGUAGCGAGGGCGCUCUGGCGGGUCAACGGCGCAGGCGAACCAGGCGGGUCCAUGGCAAAGGAGAACUGCUGGCUUGGAGGUGGCAGCUCGGGAGCGCCGGUUUAAAGCAACGAGGCCAGUUUCUGGAGACGACGGCGGUUUAAGACGGCGGCAGGCCGAGGUCACGGCUGCGGCGGCUCGACGCGCGACGAAGGCGUCCGCAGGCUCGGACGACGAAAGUGGGUCAGGCGGCCGGCCGGUUUGACGCGAGUCCAGGCUCGAGGCCACGGCGGCUCAGGUACGAGGCGGCAGCGGAGGUGACUUGAGCGAAGGUCGGACCGAAGUUUCGGCCUCGGGUGGAGGUGACCUGGCAGGAAGCAGCGAGGCGGUUUACGACAGCGGCGAGACGCUCGGUCGCGAGGCUGUAGCGGUGGCAGACGGCAACUUGCUGCGGGGCCGCUUCAGGAACGAUACGAAACCGGUGGGCCGGCGGAUUGACCUUAACCCGAGGACGGCUCGUAGCUGCUGCAGAUUUGACCGGCCAGGCGUGCUGGCAGCCCAGAGCAGCAGAAGAGGCCGUCCAUUGGAACUGCAGACACAGGCGAGCGGCGGGGUGAGGCCAGAAAGGCGAGUUGAGUCCAUGACUUCGUCCACCUCCCUUCAUUGACUCCUCCUGUCCCCCGGAUCUGGCGACAGUCUCUAGAUUAGUAACCAUCAAUUAGUACUCAUGUAAACCCAUUGUAUUCUACCCAUGUGAUUCGGAUUAGUACUCAUGCAUUCACUUUGGCCAAGUAGUACUUUGGUCUCCCACGUGUUUCUCAAGGGGAGCACCAGUACUGUAUUAUGAGGACUACUAGUCCCACAAUCGUCUCAUGAUGACUGCUUGUCUGUACCGUUCCACAGGAUAACCAAAAGAAUGAGCCGGGUCCGCCCGCGCCGGGGCGUUUUGAGGCGAGGAUGUUGGUCGAGGACAAAGCGGACGGUGGGUCGAAACAUACUCCAGCCUCCCGGUGUCAAUCCGGCGAGGGGACUCGGACAGAAACGAGGUGCGGCAGUGAUUUCAGACGAGAGGCAGAGUUUGACCGGGGGCCGCUUGCCGGUGCAGUCGAGGCUGCAGAAACAGCAAAGCACAGCGCUCCACAGCGGGUUGUCGGGCCGGCCGGGCCACUCGCGGAGCGAGCCAGAUGAGGUCCUGCGGCCGCGAGUCCAAGUUACGGCUAUAUUUUUUGUUUCCGGGUCGUAGACCCCCCCCCCUUUCCUUUUUCUUCAUCAGUUUUGACUAUAUGUUGGCGUACCGAUCUGGACUCUGCAUCUCGCGUCUCCUCAUGCCGCCUCAGAACCUAGCACACCGGUGAAAUAUACUAUAACAGGUACAACACGGUCUCAGCGACGUACAAUUUCGCCGCUCACCAAUCACAUAACGCGCUGCAAAAUCUCAGCGACAUGAUCCUUGCAUUGAUCGAUCUUGAACACAUCUUCAACUUGCAGUGGCGAUAGCGCACCCGGAUGCAAUAUUAAUUUCCUUGAACUCAAACUUUCAUCUGUCUAACCACGAGCUCCUCGAUCCUUGAAAAGAUCCCUCCAAGAACUCAACACCAUCGUGCGCAGGCCCCAUGGUGGGCGCCAACUGUCGUGGAAUUGUCACGGCAGAUGUCCUUAGUGUCAGGACUUAGUCGCGAGGCCAACGCAUCUAUGUGGUAGCUUGAGAGGGGUUGAGCGGAAUCGAGAGACGCAACACAAGACAGAGAUUUAGACAGCUUCGGGCCCCGGGAAACAUCAUCCGGUAAUAGCCCUACAUGCUGUUUGAGGCUAGGUCUCAUUAUAAUCAUGAGGGAGUCGCCGUAAACCGGCUCUCCUCUUUGUGUCUAGCCCUAAGAUUGUUUCUUGCUUGUCGCUUCUCCCUCUUUGGGGAGCCCUGCCCCUCCUUAUAUAUGUUGAAGGGGCGGGUUACAUGUGGAGUCCUAUUAGGAUUAGGACUAGUCUAUCUCUAAUACAAACCGGAUACAAGUCCUGGUCUUAACUCCUUGUAAGGUAAAUAUUCCUCAUGCCUUUCCUCUUAAACCGGCCCACAAUAGUUGAACCGGCCUUCAUGAACCGCCAGACGGGCCACCGGGUCUUGUCGCUCCUCUGACCCGUCCGCCGGGUCACCAGUGAGUUACAACGUCCUGGCGGGUUGCUGGUAAAUUGCCAGGUCUGGGCGGGUUACCAGAUGAAUAUCGCCAAGUGCCAGCGGGACCUCAAAUAAACCGCCAAGUCCGGCCGGGUUAACUUCCGGCCGGUUUACUCCGCGGGGUAUAUCCCCGACAGGUUGCGAGAGUGACAGAAACUUAAACCCUAGUUUAUGCGCUAUUCCGUAAGGGACCGAUUGGAUCCAAAAGUUUAAUGCUAUGGUUAGAAUUUAUUCUUAAUACUUUUCUCGUAGUUGCAGAUGCUUGAGAGGGGGUUAAUCAUAAGUAGGAGGUUUGUUCAAGUAAGAACAGCUCCUAAGCACCCGUCCACCCACAUAUCCAAUUAUCAAAGUAGCGAACACGAAUCGAAUCGACAUGAUGAAAGUGACUAGAUGAAAUUCCCGUGUACCCUGAAGAACGCAUUGCCUAUUAUAAGAGACCGUUUUGGCUUGUCCUUUGCCUCAAAAGCAUUGGGCUACCUUGCUGCACUUUUGCUAUUAUUAUCGUUAGUUGCUCGUUACAAAUUAUCUUGCUAUCAAACUACUCUAUUACUUACAAUUUAGCACUUGCAGACAUUACCUUGUUGAAAACCACUAGUCAUUUCCUUUUGCUCCUCGUUGGGUUCGACACUCCUACUUAUCAAAAAGAGCUACAAUUGAUCCCCUAUACUUGUGGGUCAUCACUACUACUCGUUUCUUUGCAUUCCUACUAUACUUAAUACGUACUAGUAGUAUUAUUUGUGUCAGACGAUUUGUGAAAGAAGAAGUUUGCCGAAGCGAAGGAAGAAGACGGCAGAGAAUCUACCCCCAGUAUCUAUAUUAGGGUGGCAGGGUGCCCAUGAUCUAUCUUAUGAGUGUUGGGUGUGGGAUGCAGUUCGCCGAAAAAAAUGGAUCGUGCCUGGGUUAAACAUAUGGCGGGGUGGGGGAGCAUGGCGGUGGGAGGCGGUUAAGGGGAGGGUGGGGCGGCGGUGGCAAGCGAUUAGGCUUGGGUCGGGCUGGUGGCUCGAUGGUUGAGAGAGAAGAUGAAUAGUGCAUCAUUUUGAAGGUUGAAGAAGCCCUUUCUAGCCGUCCAUGUUGCAUCCAACGGCUCACAAGAGUCGACUAACCCAAAUUGUUCCUUCAGAUUACUGGAUCCACAUGGCAUUCAAGGUCUCAAAGGUAAUCCAUGUCCGCACCCGGUUUACGGGCUCAGCACGGGUGCGACUGGCUUCCGCCGCGAUAGCCACCAUGUGGGCCUUCUCCGCGCGGGCGAAGACGAUGAUGGCCUGCUAGCUCCUCCUCACCGGCAUGCUGGAGCACGCGCGGACACAGUAGCAUCGCGAGGAGGGACUGCAGACGAUGUGAGCGGGCGAGCAUGCAACUUUGUGGCACAGGGAUGGAUGGGACACGGCGGUGAUGGGCGAGAAAUGGUCGGUUAGAGUAGGCAGGCGUCAGCAUACGGUGUUGUAGUGUAGAUGACAUGUGGGGCCAGGUCCCACAUGGCAGUGACUGUACUGCAUCGUAUAGUACUGCAGAGGAUCGCAUGCGCAACGCUGGCGUAUGGGAGCUUAGUUUAGUUUUAUAUUGGUUUGGUCAAACUUAAAAUAACACCAUACUAGUACACAUAAUCCUGUGCAAGCGAAUGCAUCACGGCCGCGCUUGUACCACAUUAGUUAGCACAACAUCGAUACGAAAUCCUGUGCAAGUGCGUGCACUACAGCUGUGCGGUCGAUCAAACGGUGCAUCAUCAUUUCACACUGGAAGGACAUCCACCAAACCUUUUUGUGUGUGUGAAAACAAUCCCCGAAUAUUACUCUACUUUUUUUUGCUGGAAAAGUUCUUCACGCUACAAUAUUUGCAUAUAUUUUAAUUUAGCUUUAGUUCAUGAUUAUUUGGAUUCAAACAUUUUAGGUGCCCCCUAGAAAUAUAUUUUUUAAUAGAGAUUGUGUGUGUAAUGGAGAGAGAACACGUGUAUGUGUCUAUAUGUGUGUUGUGGCGGAAGGACAAUGUGGAGACAGUGUGCGUUUGAUAGAGUCAUAGAGAGGUGUGAAUGUGCAAAUGAUCAUGUAUGAGUGAGACAUAAAGAUAUACCGCGAUGUUCUGUAUACAUGAGAGAACGGUCUUCUAUUUGUGUUUUUGUGUGUGCGUGUGUGAGAGAGAGAGGAACAUCCUUAACACAACAACCAUCUCUCUCGAUUCGACUAUCCCUUGCACAAUCGCAUGUAACACAUGCAUCAACGCACACAUUUUGACACCCUCACCCAGCCCCUGCCCGCCUCAAGGACCCUACAUUGCUCUCUAUCUCGCACACAUAAUCUCUUCAUGAAAACCCUAUUUGGCGUGUACCUCUCCGUCACAUACACACGAAGUACCACGCACGCACAUUUAUCUCUCGCCAUGUCUCUUUGCCUCACAAACACACUGCCCAUAGUCCUCUCUUUGUAUCCUGCACACGAUCUCUCUAUAUUGCUUAAUGGAAGUGCAACUAACCCCUGGGUGGUUUUGGUAAUUCUUAACAACAUAUAGUUCAUUGGACUAAUGCUCUUUCAAGAUGAUCAUUUCAGAAAGUUCAAUGAUUGGCAUGGCAUGGACUAGAGAUGUGGACCCCUCAAAAUGCUAAGGACAUAUAUUGGCAACAAUCUCAAGACUCUACAUUUUCAUUUUAGUGUUCCAAGAUCACAUUGAGUCCAUAGGAAAGCCAAUACUAUUAAAAGGGGAUGAGGUGUUGCUUAAUGGCUUACUUGCUCAAAAUGCUUAGUGAUAUGCUCCAAAACCCUCAACCACUCUCUCACAUCCACAUAUGUCCUAAACCUAAAAAUCAAAUUCGGCCCCACCGAUUUGAUCUAUCCGGCGCCACCGAGUUUCAUUUGACAUAGCCACUGCCACAAACCCUAGUUAUGUCGAUCUCACCGAUAGGGAUCUGGUCUCACCGAGAUGGGAUUGCAAACUCCCUGUUUCCUUUUUAUAACAUUUCGAUCACACCGAAAUGAGAAAAUCGGUCCCACCACUACAAAAAAAGACACAUAUGUGACAUUUUGGGCCGAACGAAUUUUUUUCUGUCAUACAUAUGACACUUCUAUGACGAUAAUUGUGACGAAACCCGGUAUCAUCAUAGAUGUGGUGGGCUCCUACUUCUAUGACAAAAAAAUCAUGACAGAAAAUGGGCUUUUCGUCCUGGGCGGGCCGGAGACGCAGCUGCAUGACAUUCUUUGGGCCGUCCAUGACGGAAAAAACCGUGGUAGAAGCGAGGGGGAGGAAAAUUUCGAGGAGUUGCCGGUUACGGUGGGAGGUCGGGGGCGGAGCGAUGCGCGUUUCUCUCGUACGUACACGCGUGUGUGUGAGGCGUUGGCUCUAACUGAAGCCGAGCGAGGCGUUCGGCUCUAACUGAACCCGAGCGAUUGCACUGCAGGCUACGCGUUACUGAAGCCGAGGGGUCGAUCGAUGGCUGUUAACUGAACCCGAUGGAGCGAUUCCUUUGCUACUACUGCUAACUAAAGCCGAUCGAUUGGAUGAACAGUGAGCGUUGUGGGGGGGUUUGGAUGAACAAUGAGUGGUGGCGUUGCCUCUGGAUGAACAGGACCCCAUGGUGUGGAGGGCUGGAUGAACAGUAGACGGUGGAGGGGUGCCCAUGGAGGGGUGGUUGAACAUUAGCCGGUGGAGUAGCGCACGGUGGAGGCUAGAUGAACAGGAGCCCGUGGAGGCUGGAGGAGGUCGACGGUGGAGAUGAACAGUAUCCCGUGGAGUCCCGUUUUGCGGUAUGCCACACCCCUCCCCCCAUUUCAACCGUAGCGCUCCAACACAAGUCCGUCUCGUCCGUUUUGCGGUACGCCACACCCCUCCGGAUCAAAAGGACCCCCGUUUCGGCCGUAGCGCUCCAACACAAGUCCGUUUCAUCCGUUUUGCGGUACGCCAAACCCCUCCCAAUCAACAGGACCCCCGUUUCGACCAUAGGAGGUCCCGUUUCCUCCGUUUUGCGGUACGCCAGGCCCCUCCCGAUCAACAGGACCCCGUUUCGAACGUGUCCGGUCGAACACAAGGCCGUUUCCUCUGUUGUGCGGUACGCCAGGCCUCGUUUCCAUCGCCUGUUCCGUCCAAGCCCUCCCGAUGAACACGACCACGCAUUUCGUUCCGACCCAGCCGGUUGGCUCCCCAUGAACACGACGACGACGUUGUUUCUCCGUUCCGACCCAGCCAUGUAUGUAUGCGCGAUAGGCGUUAGAGACCCUUCUCGUAUGUACGUACGUGGCCAUAUUUUCUUUCUUGCACCCUCGCCGCUGUAUGUACGUGUACAUGCUACGUGCGCGCCUCUACUACGACACGUGCGCGCCUCUACAUCCACCAGUAUAUAUGUGCGUACAUGUUCGCGACCAGAAUGACAACGCUACGUAUGCUUCGACCAGGUGGGUCCCGACUGUCAGGCACUUUCUUGCGUGCGACGAUGUAGCUGGUGGGUCCCAGCAGUCAGGGGGGCGAAUCAUUUUUUUUCGGACGCACUUCCUUGCGUGCGAAGAUGUAAUUGAUGGGUCCUAGCAGACAGGGGAAACGUUUUUUUCGCUAAAUACAGUGGCCCGUCCGGUGGGUCCCCGCUGUCAGGUGGAGGAAUAAUUAUUUUAUGCAUAAUAAGGAGGCACUUCCUUGCUGCGGUCGUGGACCCAGCUGUCAGCCUCUCCACGUACAGUCCACGUCCGAUGGAAGCCAUUCCUUGACCAUGUUGACCACGCCGCGCCGAGAGCACCAGGGUGGUGGACGACGGCGAGGCCUAGGAAGGGGACUACACGGAGCCGGGGAAGACGCGGCAGUGGAUGCCCAUGCGUAGAGGAGUAUGAGGGUUCACUCGUUCGGCUGCGGUGUGAGGUUGCCAUCGCCGCAGAAUAACAGGGGGUGUGGGUGCAUAGAGGGAUGGCCUGGCCAGCGGUGGGAGUAGUAGGGGGCGGUGAGGCCUCCGCGGCAUCACAGCCGGCCAUGGGCGGCAGGAGCAGGCGGCACGACCGGCGCUGCUUUGGGCGGCUGGAGCAAGGAGACCAGAGGUUGAAGAAGCACUACAGCCGUUGGAUGGACAUCGUAUGAUCACUGGAGCUAGAAUCGUUCAUAUAUUGACUAAAGUUGACAAAGGCCUCCGUCCCAGUCAACUUAAUAGGCCCACAAGUCAGCCUCCCACCAAGGUUGGUCCCAGCUAGCAGGGGGGUAUUCAUUUUUUUUGUGUAAUAAGGAGGCACUUCCGGUGGGUCCGAGCUGACAGCGCGGGGAACGUUUUUUUCGCGAAAUACGGUGGCUCGUCCGGUGGGUCCCAGCAGUCAGGGGAAACAUUUUUUUCACGAAAUAAGGUGGCCCAUCCGGUGGGUCCCUGUUGUCAGGUGGAGGAAUAAUUAUUUUGCGUGUAAUAAGGAGGCACUUCCUUGCGGCCGCCUGGACCCAGCUGUCAGCCUCUCCACGUACAAUACUCUUCCGAUGGAAGUCGGUCAUUGACCAUGUUGACCACGCCGCGUCGAGAGCACUAGGGCGGUGGUCUGGACGACGGCGAGGCCUAGGAAGGGGACGACGUGGAGCCGGGGAAGACGCAGCAGUGGUAGCCCGCGCGGAGAGGAGUACGAGCGUUCACUAGUUCGGCUGCUGUCGCCGUAGAAUAACAGGGGGUGUGGGUGAGUAGAGGGAUGGCCUGGCUAGCGGUGGGAGUAGUACGGGGCGGUGAGGACUCCGCGGCAUCACAGCCGGCCACAGGAGGCAGGACCACGCAACACGACCGGCGCUGCUUUGGGCGGCUGGAGCAAGAAGACCAAAGGUUAAAGAAGCACUACGGCCGUUGGAUGGACAUCGUACGAUCACUGCAGCUAGAAUCGUUUAUAUUGACUAAGUUGACCAAGCCCUUGGUACGUGUCAACUUAGUAGGCCCACAGCUCGGAUUUGGCAGAGAACAUAUAGCCUAUUUGCGAUUUGUAAGAAUGUACAGCCCAUUUUUCAAUUCUAAUGGAAUUUACUACAGCCCAUUUACGGGUUUGUUAAAAGUACAGCCCAACUUCUAGGUAGGACAACGAUUAAUAAUUUCAAACAACCGCUCAAAACAGAAUUCAAAAAAAAAUUCCCACAUUUUGAUGGGAUCCAUAAUAUUUUUAUCCGAAAUUUCUAGUCAGGUUAAAUAUAAUUUCAAAAUAAAGUUGUAUCACGUUAAAAUCCAAUGAAAUAUUACGCGCGCAACAAGUAAUGAAAUUAAAAUUUCUAAAUUCCAAAAAUAAUAUAUUUUUCAAACUAAUUACGUGUUUGGUGCAUAGUAAUUGCCUAGUUAUUAUAAUUACAUCCCAUUUAUUAUUUCUUAAAGUCCAUUUUCUUGUUAAGCCUAAUGCAUACCUCCUAGGAAACUUUGCAGCCCAGCGGGGCGGAUAACAAGUUGACCCGGAUAUUGUGUACAACUGUCGGCCCAGUUGCAUUGUUGAUGUUGAAAAAAAGGCCUGUGUAGUAUAGUACAACCUAACAUGGUUACUCAGCCCACAUUCAGGGAUGCCGGAAAGGCCCAAACAAGGCUUCUAUACAAGUUUUUGAAGUCACUGAGCUCAAUUAAUAACUUAAGAAAAAAGUUAGAUUACAGUGGAACCUAAUUAAAAGCUGUCACGAGCAAAUAAAUAAUUCAACGGGUCCCACUUGUGCGUGUGCACGCGCGCGUGUGUGUGUGUGUGAGAGAGAGAGAGAGACCCGUCGGUCGAUGCUUGUAAAUACAUCUUUCAGCCAUAUGCAUUGUUGAUGCUCAGUAAAAACUUAUAUAGUUGACACAAUCAUAUAGAACAUCAUAGCACACUGAACUUGCAUACAAAAAUUUCACGCAGGCGGCACAAUCAGGAUGGAAGCAGUGGAUCGCUACGGGAAGGGCUAUGUUGAAACCAACGAAGUCGUACAUAACGGUUCAUCGUCUUUAUAAAUGACGGGGAAAUAUCUUGAAUGUUGUGCAAAGAAAAUAGACAAACAACACAAUAAGUUCUGCUAGCACAUUAAGUUGACGUACAGCCCUUUCUAAAAAAAAGUUCAGGUACAAAAUUAGAACAGGUCACAAUCAAAUGUACUGGCAUAUCAGUGCUUCAGACCCAUAGCUCGGAUUUAACUAGUACUAUCUGACAAGAUUCAGUUGUUACCUCAAAUUAGAGCACAUCCAGGCAGCCAGCCCUGCCUCUACUCCCAAAGAAGCAGUGGCCUCCGCCACGCGAUGGAGUAGGCCCUGUGCCAUCCAUCAUUCUGAGCAACACAGGGAAAGUCUAACAUUAACUCCUGUAAUGCACGUCGUCGACGGACCCUGGCACCAGCAGGCGCGGUAGGACUUUGAUUGAUGGAUUGACCACUUCUUCGACAUGCACGAACACUCGAUACAGGUACAUCCCUAACAUGGUCCGCGGCGGCCUUGGUGGCGACGAAUAGUAUAACCCCGGUUCCUGGACCGGUAUCUCAACACCAAUCACCUUCGGUAUGGUGGACGACUUCUUCAUCCAUGCCAUAACCGUCAGAGCCCAGCUGUCUGGAGGAAAAAACAUACUUAUGAGCUCACCUCCAAGGUCGUUGAUAAGCUCGUUCAUGGACUCGCUGUUCCAAGCACGUCGAGGCAUGUCGUGGAAGGUAAGAUUUGUUAAAAACUCAAGCUCACAGGGCACCGAGCCCCAUCCUGGGUGCCACCAAUCAAAGCUUACCAGCGCGCCAUCGCAGAACAAACACCAGGAAGAUUCGAACACACGACUGCAGUCGAAAGUUGUUCGGAACCUGACGAAGAAAUCAGCCGGUGGCGGACAGACUUCGACGAGCAAGUCACUUAUUUGGAUGUCGUGCGCAAUGCCAAGAGCUUUGACAAGGUCGUCUAGCGAGAUGGGAGGCCGGUCGUCGUUGAUGGUUACCAUUAGCACUUUGCCGGCAAACUGGUCGUCAAGCGCCGUCAUGCCACAGUUGAGCGACAGCACGCAGCGACCGAAGGCAAGACGGACCUCAGGAUCUCCGGCUCGGAGAUCCGUGUUGACCGGCGACAUGAUAGUGCGCUUGAGUACAGGGAGUACAUGAGGGGGAUUUGGGGGAACUGGAGUAGGAAUCGAGAUUCCAGAGGUGGGGGAGGGGUGGGAGACUUGGGAUGAAAAGGUAGCAUGAAUUUCGAGCACGUGCCAAUAUGCUCUCGGCGCGCAAGCGCAUGAAAACACCGGUGGCGCCCACAUGUCGGCCUAAGAGUCCUUAUUAUUUCUUUUUUGGAGAGCCCGGCCUUUUUUUCAGGAUCUUUUGAGAGCCCAGCCCGAGAGUCAUAAUUGACCUGUUUGGCAUUGCGUUACUACUCGGCCCAUAUUCAACGACACCUCACUGGCCCAAACAAGUGUACAUCAUCGAAAAGACAGUGAGCUCAAAUUAUAUAACUUGAAAAAAGGAGAUAUACUCUGAACACUGGAGAAUGGUGAUGCCCUCAUUUAGCCCACCAGUAGUUCGAAACAAUAAACAGUUCAAAACAACGAUAUAUACAACAUUCAAACACUGGCUAGUGACUACUACUGACAUAAACAGCAAGACAUGAUAGUUCAUAAGAAGUCUUUCUACACCACCAAAACGUACCCAUCUGCAGCGCUCAGACUCUCCUAAUCCAGAUGAGAAUGACAUUCUAAACAGAAGCAACUAUUACAUAGAAAGAGUGACAUAGACGAGGAUGACCAAAUGACAAGGAAUAUGCAUAACAAAAGAAAGAACUACCCAUCCAGAACUAGUAGCAAAGACAACAAAGUCAUUCGAAGAGAUGAUCCAACGCCAUCAUAAUUUGCAGCCCCGCUUCAGCGACCAGUGAUCCGGAGACACCAGUACUCCACCCUUUCGAUUCAACAGCCCAAUUACCUAUCAACCUGAAGGCUUGAACCACAUCACUGCCUGUCGUAAUUGAGACAUCCAAGGAUCAAAGUUAAUCUGGAUGCCUUUGUCAUUCUCACCUUCUUUUGGCUGCAGACUGUAUUAUUGACAAUCAGGGGAGUAUGCUCCCGAACUCCUAGGGCUCGCCGUGUAGACACAGUUCUCCAUAGCAAACAGAGCCUCUCUGCCAUCAAGGUCCUUGCCAACGGUGAUCUCCUGGUUAAUCGGAUAAUUGAGUCCGAGAAACAGAGAGUGUGAACCAAGGCUGUUUACCCGCCUCCAACUAAAAAAUCCUAAAGGCCCCAACAAGCUGGUAUCCUAUUCAUAGACGUAACAGUCACUGUCCGGAUACUCACGUAUUACACGGUGCUUGUAUACAGUGGGGGUUUUGCAAUAUAACUUUUCCGGCUCAUGUGUCCGAAUGAUCAUCAGUCUUUUGUCGUCGUUUGAUCGAGUGAGGAACCAGUUGUGCUUCCCUGUUUUUGGCACAGGUGGUGUAAUUACAAAGGGCAGUAACUAUAGGGACACUGCAUCAUAUCAAAAAGGACAGGCGUUGUUAAUGUAAGAUCAGCAUUGUUCAGAGUAUGAGUACGAUAAUGCAAGAAACAGCACUGAUAUGUCCCUGUUGGAACUGGGAGGAAAAUACAGGGAAAUGUAUACUGGGUUCGAAAAUAUAGAAUUGCCAUGCAUGGUUAUACUCAUGUUAUCUCGCAAUCGAUUCUUCACAGGAAACUACCAUGUCAUGCAUGUUAUGUAAUCAUGUUCUGUCCUCACAAACAAAUUCUUCAAGGUAACUAACAUGCAUUUUUAUAUACUCGUGUUCUGUGGGCAAAAAUUUUGUGAGGAUAUUAUUCUAGCCAUUGAUUGCUGAAGGGCGAAUAUAGGUAUGUACACAUGGUAAGCAUUGCAGGAUUUCACUACUUCCAAAUAUAGAGUUCUCCAUAUGCACAUUUACUUCCCUAAUGUAUGGUUAGAUGAAAAAACAGUGUGGUGCAUGUUUCUACAUCAUGAAAAUGAGGAAACUAACAUGGCCAUUGAUACACACUCAUAUUUAGUAGUAGUAUAUAGAUUACUGUAAAAUAAGGAUAGUAUCCAUAUAUUCCUAACCGUUUGAUUAUUCACGGUACAAAUUGGCUGUAAUGACAUGGUCACAAUCGCAUGAAUUAACUCAUUCCAAAUAUAGCUGAUUUACGGCGUCCCUAAUAUAUUGCCAUAGUUCUACUCAAAUUCUGCCCAAACAGGGAUAUGCCAAUCAUCACAAAAAGUUCAAACAGUGUCAUGGCGUCAUCAUUAACAUGAGACGGAAACAACUUACACGCGCCGUCCCAGCAAUAUGUGGUGCCAUCUGCUUUGUCGAUCGCGUAGAUGAUGUCAUUGUGUUCAAUAGCAUCACAGAAGUGUGUAUUAGCUUUGAUGAUGAUCCACUGCGAGCUGAGUUGUCUCCAGCUAAAAAAGGCACCGGCGUAAAGAUAGGCGAGUUCGCGGUCGAACAAGGCAAUUAGCUUGAAGUAUGCAUAAUUCGCAUGUCGUGUGGGUACUUGGCAGAUUACAAUCUUCUGCAAAACAAGGUCCGUCCAACUGACGUAUUAAUCUAGAUGACUUGGACCGCGAUGGUAAUACUCUAUAUAAUCCAACGGUGGAAGGAUAAUCUCAUGGGGGUCUGGAAGUUCACGAGCACCAACUUUUUACCGUCUUCUCUGAAGGCAACCAUCCAGUGGGAGUUCAUGCCGACCCAGUACAUACCUACCAAGAAGUUUCGGGUGAUGGUGAUCGGAUCGAUGUCGAGGGAAAUGAUGUACGGCGACACACUACAUACCUGCAAAGAAGUUUCGGCUAAUGGAGAUCGGAUUGAUGUCGAGGGGCAUCAUGCACGCCUCCGUAUCAUGGUGAGCCGAUCUCGCAAGACCAGAUAGCAGCAAGCAGGGUGUCUUGAAAAGCUUAGGCCUCGCUUCGACGAUGGCCGUGUGCAUGUCCCUCGAGCAUGCAGCCAGCCGCAGGGUGGUCAACAUAUCCAUACACGAACAACAGAGGUCGAGGAUGUCACUUGGGAGAUUGCUCAAAUCGCGGCUCAUAUGGAUGCUGCGUGGUUCGCGUUCGGCCAUGGUGGAGUUUGGAAGGGGGCUUGAUUUACGGGGGAGAAGGAUGUCGGUGCUGGAGCGGCUAGCAAGGGAAUAGUGGUACUGGGGGAGGCGAGUGAGGCAACAGUACACGGGGGCACAGUGAGACGGAGACGAAGACGGAGAAGGAGAUGGAGAUGGAGUGGUGCUAUGGGAGCAGAGAGGGAGACGAGGCGAGGCGCCAAUGUGUUGUACAGCAGCGGUGACAGACUGCACAGUGCACAGGGUGAGGCUGACUUUGGUAACCCGAACACACCGCCUCGCCUGGACCAGUGUCAGGCGUAGGGUGUUGUCACUUCACUGUGAGGACCGGAUGAAUAGUAUUUUGACCAUCAAGUGUACCACAGUUGUACUACUACUACUACUACUAGUAGUAGUAGUAGUAGGAACAUGAGUACUCCAGUAUUGUAUAGCGGAAAUAGGUCUCCCGUGCUAGCAUGCCUGUUCACUUCAUCGUUCAGGUAUCAUCCAUAUUGCGAGCAGAACCAAAUUCUCGUGCAUGCCCAAUCAACGCCCUGCCACGAUGCAUGCAGUGGUUGUUCUGGUGCAUCAAGGAUGGCAUGCAGAUCGUUCCACACUUGAGAAGAGGAAAAAAUGGAAAGGUAGAACGCGGCAGCAGAGGAAGAGAAUGCUGGCUAACGAGGCUGGGAGGGGAUCAAGCAGGAAGUUAAUGCUCCAUGCCUAAAGGUUUUGGGAAAACCUGAUUUUCAUAAGGCUGGCCAUAGUGGGGGUAACAUAACUAGUAUCAUGUACUUGGGACUCGCAAACAUGCUUAUGUGGCAAAAGAUUAAAGAAGAGAGAGAGGAUAGUAGUAACAUAGGUAGAUACCAUAACAUAAUAAAUGUUAUGCUACUAUGUGUCAUGCAUGGCAAUAAAUGAGACCAUCUAUGAUACUACUUUAUGAUACUAUGCACUAUGGAUAUAGUAUCAUACACUAGUAUCAUGGUAUAUGUUACUCUCCACUAUGACCAGCCUAAGGUGACUUAUACUCACCUAAACGAAGGGAGUAUUCCUUAACCAGAGAAUGUUGUGUCUCCCACUCACGCGCUCAAAAAAAAGCUAUGACACAUUUUUUUUAUCUGUUUGCAUAGGUCCCACCUAUCAGGAAGGAUGGGCACGUACACGAACAGGUACGACUCCUCAGUCUACCCGCAUAGCCUUUUCGUUUAGUCUACCUAGUCGUCUAAUCAACUGCCUGCACGCCACUUCUCCCAUUUACUUCUCCAUCGGGAACCGAUUCGCCUCGGCUUCUUCACCUCCCCUUCGUCUUCAUUUACAUCCAAACCCCACUGUGUUCACAUUGUUUUAACCUCUUUAAAUAAUCAUCUACUACUUUAGUUAGACUAGUCAUCUAAUCCUAAUUCUCCAAAUCAUAGCCCUCCGUUCUAGCGGUUCCAAAUGGUGAAAGAGAUCGAGAUGCAGGUUUUUAGCGUCCAACAUGUCCUCGUUGAAGGCUCGAUGCGCAUAGUUGCCACCAUCACCGUCCACCCAAGGGUUGUUCGGCAGUGGAUCAACAAUGUAUCCAACUCCCUCAAAAAGGUAGAGACGAGGGUCAUCGGUCUCAACACAGAGUACACGGAGCAUGCCCCUGGGAAGAUCCAGCGCGUCGCCGUCCUUCAGCUGUGCCUCGAAGAUGAUGUUUUGGUGUACCACACCAUACACUCGCCCUCCAUACCAGGUGAGCUUCACGAUUUCUUGUCUCGGGAGGACGUAUACUUCUGUGGGGCAGCCAUCGAAGGGGACAAACAGAAGCUGGAGCCGUACAACCUUGAUUUGAAAAGCAUCGCUUACCUACAAACCAGAAUCAAAAUUCCUGUAGAAGAUUGUGCUAAACAAACACCAUCCCUAUUCGACGUAGCAAAUUUUGUGCUCGGUACAAAUCUUCAGAAGGGUGACGAGACAGUGGCAUUAAGGUCGUCUGGAUGGGAGAAUUAUCCCUUGACGUACAAGCGGAUAAAAUAUGCUGCCCUCGAUGCCCGUGUGAGUUUUGAGAUAGCUGCAAGGUCCAAAGAGCUUGUUGCGAAGCCGUCUCCCACAGAGAAUGAGAACAAGAAGAACAAGAAGAAGAAGAAUAAGAAGAAGAAGAAAACGUUGCACCAGCAGGAGGGCAUUAUGGAUGGAUGAACUAUUUCCUCUCUUGUAAAAAAAUUAUUCCCUCUCGGUGUAUAUUGAUAUAGAUGGACUAUUUCGAUGGUGUGCAUGUCUUUGGAACAGAGUAGUAGUGUGGGUCCGCUUGACUAUAAGGAAUUAUUUAUCUGCAUAUAUAGCUUUCUCUGCUACUCCUUCCAGUGAUCGGUAUACAGUGCAUGUGUCCGUAGACAUGACAGCUUGUCCAUGGAAGUUCAACUAUGGCGACCAUCAUGUUUCAUCUCGCGAUUCCCACGACGCCUCUCCAACCCACGGCACCACCCCCCCCCCCCGACAUGCGCCUCACCCCUCUCGGCCGCACCGCCCCUCUGCCUUUGUGUGCAUGAAAUGUGGGCCACCUAAAAUGCGGCGAGCAUCAAGUUUCUACCACAGCCGCCCACGAUUCCCACGACGCUGCUCGAAUCCAUGAAACCACACGUCCCCCGACCUGUGGCUCACCCCUCUUGGCCCCACUGCCCCUCUGCCUUCGGGAGCAUUACAUGUGGACCAGUCACCUAUCGGGUCCACAUGUUAUUGACUCAAAGGUAGGUGUAGUAAGGCGCUGAAGCUCAGUCCCGACGGCCCUGAGAGGGAAAUGUAACUCCUGCGCCAGGGCUUGUGGUGCUCCCGCAGCACAAACUCGUGCCAAACUCGAGAUUUGUUUCAUUACUAUACAUGCACGAUUUAAUGGACAUUGUAAUCUCAACAUGUGAUGGGGAGCUCUAAAUUUGAAUUUGAAACUUAUAAAACGAAAAGAUUCAAAACAAAUAAACUGGAGAGAGGGAGUAUAUCGUAGGAUGUGUCCCAUACAAAAUAAGUCCCCUGGUUUGUCACCGCGAAGAUGCGGUUAGAAAGGAGCACAGCGUCUUCCUACUCGUACGGCAACAAAUCGGCCGCAGACAGCAUGGUCCGCCUUUGACCGCCAUGUGCAAGGUUUGUGCUAUCUUUUAUUCAAUCUCACCGUGGUUCUAUCGUACCAAUUCAUGCGGUGGCCCGUUGCAUGGCUGAUCCCAAUGUUGGACAAAGGUUCUACGGGAACGGUGUCACCGUUGUAAAUGUUGUGCAAAUUGAUGUUGGUACCCUCCCGUACAUAUAUAUGCAAGCCAAUCUCCACUCGCACCGAGCCUAGCCUGUGAAACAGUGGGCGGGGGGGAAUUAGGAAAUGGACACGGAAGUUGUCUUUAGAAUGCAUUUACUACGUGAUCAAACUCAUCUUACCUGCUCAUCGGAGGAAAUCCGAGUGCCCCUCGACGUCGGCAUCUCAAGGGGCGUCAACUUGCAACUACGGCCACGCUGCGCUGGAGAGACCCCCAAGGAAACAUCCUCGUGCGUUCCAUGGAACAUCAAGAUGCAUUUGUAUGAGUAGUUUAUCUUGUGAGAGAAAAGGAUGAACGAGGGAAGGCCUCUAGAGAUAGAGAUGGACACUACUACUACCAAUGUGCUGGCCCGUGCGUUGCAAUGGAUCCAAACUAGUAGAAUAAUACUUGUUCACGUGCUUGAAAUAUAAACACUCUAGUUUUGAUAUACAUGUGUCAGCAGACACGACAGCUUGUCCAUGGAAGUUGAACCACGGCGACCAUCACGUUUCUUGUUUCUACCACUGCCACACCCACACGCGAUUCCCACGACGCCGCUCCAACCCACGGCACGACGUCCCCCGACGUGGACAUGGAUCCUCUGACAUGGCUAUCACUGCCUUGCCCUGCCUUUCCUUCCCUGACAGGUGGGACCCACGCUUAUGGGUCCCACAUGUCAGUGACAUAACGGUAGGAUUGUUCGUGCCCCUCAUCCCUCUCGGCCCCACCGCUUCUCUGCCUUUGUGUGCAUGACAUGCGGGCCAGCUGAACUGCGGCGACCAUCAACUUUCUACCACAGACACACCCAAUUGGACGCGGUUUGCCUGCUCCGCUGCUGUGCUCCGAUCUGUACUCCCGCACCAUCGAAUUUUCAUCCAGCGGCUGUGACACAUUUCAUCCCGGGCAUCAAUCCUCAGUUGGAGUACUUAUGUACUACAGGUAGUACCCGCCGGUGUGGCCAUCUACGCCUCGUAACGCCCCGAUGCCCAGUUGUGGUACCCUCGCCAUGGCCAGGCCACCACCGGCCGGUUCAUCUCGAACGAGUGAGUCGCGAACCACGCCACCACCAUGAGAAUGACAUGUGGGCCAGCCGCAUUUAAGGCCCACAUGUCAUUGACUCAUAGGUCGGGCACUAAGCCACUGAAGUUCGGUCCUGUGGGCCCCGAGAGGAAAAUGUAACUCCUGCGGCAGGCCUUGUGGUGCUCCCGCAGUACGAGCUCAUGCCAAAACUGGAAUUUGUUUCUUACUACUACUAGUACUUGUAGGAAGGUACACGUGCAUUGCACGCAUGAGAUUCUGGUGGUUUGUGCAUUAUGCUUCUACAUGUGGAGUUUUCUAGAUUCUAACAUGUGGAAAAAUUUGGUGGAAUGUAAGGUUAGGCAAGUUUGAUUAACUUACGUGAGUGUUUGGUUCAAGCCACACCUUAGGCAAGCCACACUGGCCCCACAUGACAUACACACAAAAAAUGUGGCAAGAUUCCCUUAGGCUUGCCAACUUGUGGCAAAAUUUGGUGGAAUGUAAGGUUAGGCAAGUUUGAUUAACUUAGGUGAGUGUUUGGUUCAAGCCACACCUUAGGCAAGCCACACUGGCCCCACAUGACAUACACACAAAAAAUGUGGCAAGAUUCCCUUAGGCUUGCCAACUUGUGGCAAAAUUUGGUGGAAUGUAAGGUUAGGCAAGUUUGAUUAACUUAGGUGAGUGUUUGGUUCAAGCCACACCUUAGGCAAGCCACACUGGCCCCACAUGACAUACACACAAAAAAUGUGGCAAGAUUCCCUUAGGCUUGCCAACUUGUGGCUCUCAUUUUGAAGAACUUAUUAAUAACUUUGCCUGAGCUUAGUUGUGGCAAAGUUAGUCAUGAAUUAAGUUCANNNNNNNNNNGGUGAGUGUUUGGUUCAAGCCACACCUUCGCCAAGCCACACUGGCCCCACAUGACAUACACACACAAAAUGUGGCGAGAUUCCCUUAGGCUUGCCAACUUGUGGCAAAAUUUGGUGGAAUGUAAGGUUAGGCAAGUUUGAUUAACUUAGGUGAAUGUUUGGUUCAAGCCACACCUUAGGCAAGCCACACUGGCCCCACAUGACAUACACACAAAAAAUGUGGCAAUAUUCCCUUAGGCUUGCCAACUUGUGGCUCUCAUUUUGAAGAACUUAUUAAUAACUUUGCCUGAGCUUAAUUUUGGCAAAGUUAGUCAUGAAUUAAGUUCAACCAUGUAGUCUUCUAGAUUAUACAUGUGGCAGAAUCUGGUGGAUGAUAUCCAAUGGCCAGUAGUGCUCGGAUUUGCCAUCUUUGUACCGUCGGAUUGGCUUCAUCCAACGACCAACUUUCAAAGUUUUUCACACACUAUAUAGGGGGUAUAGAUAUAGAUGUGUCGGUCCGUUGCAAUGGAUCCAAAGUAUAUCUAUUUAGUGGAGUGCACUCUAAACACAUUAUCUAUUUAUUUUUCUCUAACCUUCCGUAGCCAUGCAACCAAGCCACAUAAGCUUCAUGGGUGCCCCCACAUCAUAUUAUUCAUACUACGUUGAUUGAAAAAAAGAUAAAUCGCCCAAAACAAGAUCUUCCUGUUUUUUGUUCCUACGAUGUUGUGCCAUGCACGUAUCUACUAGUUGUAUAGUGGUAGUACCAGUAAUAUAAUAGUAUUAGGAGUACAAACUUGGUAGGAGUGGUACUAAUACGGAAUGCUCCUACUCUAUCAACGAGCCCCAUCUGCCACAAAAUUUCUUGGCUUCCGUGCUACAGCGAGAUCUUCCCCUUGUUUCUGUUUUCCAACCCGGCGGCGGGCGGGGUGUCGGUUUGCUCAACGGGCAGUCCCACAUGAAAGUGAAAAUGCUAGGCAGGCAACACGCCUUCCCUAAGCUAUGUGUCGUGCCGGACGGGCCGUGUUGUACUCCCGAUUCCCGGGCAUGUGGGGGUGCGACGCGAACGUGGCAGGCCUUUUCCUUUUACUAGCAAUGUGCCCGUGCGUUGUGACGGAUCCAAAGUAGUAUAAUAGUAGUAUUUCUUCACAAACUUAAAGAAAUCACUAUUGUUUUGAUAUACUCCUAAUAUAUUACUCCCUUCGUACCUAAAUAUUUGUCUUUUUUGAGAUUUCAAAUGGACUAUCAGAUACGGAUUAUAUAGACAUAUUCUAGUGUUUCUAGCAAGAUGCCCGCGCGUUGCACGAGGUUGAUGGAAAAGGUAAUCACAACUUACAAAUUGACGGAUGGAGUACUAGUUACAGUGAUGCAUAUAAUUAAGCAAAGGGAUCGCACAUGUCGGUAUUGACUGGAACGAGAAUGCAACAGCACAAUAAGAAUUAAGGCCACGAUGAUGCGAUCGAAGUGGUGGUUACAGAAGGCAAGAAGAAAGAUGGAUCCAUGAACGUACGACCUCCUCCUCCUCAACUUAGUGCGUCGGGCCACCGUCCGGAGGCUAAGGAGCGGCGGCUUUUGUGGCGAGGUCAAGGUGCUUCUCAACAAAGGCAUCCAAGGCUUCCAGCCGGUUGAGGAAGGCCAACGUCAUAGCAUCCUCACUGGCCCUGUAGAUACCUAUGUACAUGAUUUGCUCGUAUGCGUGGAUGUGUAGGUCGAAGAAUUCUUGCAGGGUGAGGCGCCUCGCGGCGAGCGCGACCUCCAAGUGGACAUUCUUCGUGGCGUUGGCAGGAAGUCGCAGGGCCACCAGUGCUUGGAAGAGGUUCCGGCCAUGGAGGCCGAUUCGGGUGGCAGGCAAUGAGGAGCCCGAGCACGCGGGCUGGAGGAGUACGGCGAUGUCGUCCGCGGGCUUCUUGAGGACGGUGAACUUGUUGCUGGUGGCAACGAUCAUCUAGUCCAACUUAGAGUCAUAGUUGGCGUCGACGGCGGCCAUCCACCAGCCGGUCUCCAACACCGUCUGGAGACAAUCCUCGGCGCCAUGCCGCAGGCCGGCAUCGUGGACCAUCUAGCACAGCCGUUGGCCGCUCACGCGCAUCGCUGCCAUGGGUCUGGAGCGAGCUCUUUUGCGCUUAGUGUAGGUUCUUAGGCAAGUGCUUAGGUGCGUACGAUGUGGUAGAUGCAUUGGAAUGGAGGAGGGGCGCCUUUAUAUGAGGGCAAUGAGGGAAAACUGCGUUGCAUUCACAUCAUGCAGCCUCUUUUCCCGGACCUCCUCCCAUUACUUCCUUCAUGCAUUAAUUGAAGGAGGAUGCAUUGGCCGUUCAACAUAUCGGGAACCGCUACUCCCUCCCUCGUCUGCAUUAAAGGCGUAUCGGGAACUACGCCGCCCGCUGUCAAAUCGAAUACUCCCUCCGUCUAGGUGAGUAUUAUAAGUCAUCUUACGAAAACCAAAUACUAGUAAUCAACCAAGAAGAUAUGUGGGGCUUGUAUGCUUUUAAUGACUUGAGACUAUCAAACAUGACAUGCAGUGGUCAGUUCAUUGCACAAGAACAAAUACAACCCACGUCAGCACACACGCAUCUUAUAGCAUCACAUCCAAUGGCUAUAAAAGAUGAAUGAGACCAAAUUAUAUCUCAUCUAGAUGAGUUCUAGCAAAAUUGUAUUAAUAAUAAUUAGUACUCCUGCACCAUGUAUCAUAUAAGUAUCAUGUAGUACUUUAUUUAUUGCCAUGUAUGACACAUAGUUCACGAGCUCUCUCUAUAUCUACCACCUUUUUUUUAAUUUCAAGUUUUGCUCCAUGGCGCAACCCAUCGAUACUACUACUAUACAAAAGUGGAGUAUAUGCAUUUUUUAAAAGGCUAGAGGGCGGGGCAGUCUAGCUCGGUCGGUUUCACGAGAGGCGAGGGCCUUUGUGAUUUGACGGCUCAUUAAUGCUGUCAAAUCGAAUAGUACUGCGCCGCCCGCUGCACAACCGGCGCCUCCAUUAAACCCCUCCGUUAAACCCGCAUGCAAACCAAGAAUCCUACUCCGGCCACACGUCCAUUCAUGAGCGGGACGGAAUUAAACGCAACACCAGCCGAGAUCCUCCCGUCCGCCCUCAGUUUAAACAAGGCCAGACGCCGGCCAAGCUCCUACCGUCCGCCCUCUAUUUACAUGAGGCCUGGCAGACAGCGGGCAAGAAUCACACCCCUCCGUUGCUCCCCCAUCUCCUUCUUCACCAUUUUCUCCACCAUUCCGAUGGCUUCCGAUGAGCCGUUCUCCGGCAUAUUACCAGGCUGGGUGGCCCGCCGAGCCCUCCGGAUACGGGCGAGGCCGCUCGGUGCUUCACCAACCUCGCUUGGCCCGACGGAGCCAGUUGCCGCCCUAAGCAGGCGCGUGGUUUAGCAACUCACCACUCCAGUUCAGCUCGAUGAGGAGUGGCGAGUUGCUCCACGCCGGCAUGGCGGCGAGCAGGCCGGUACGGGCACCAUCACUGCCGCGUCGUACCACACCACCAGUGUCUGCGGUGGCCGCGCCUCCCGUGUCUGUGGGCGCGCCUCCCGUGCCUGCGGCAGCACCAUGUAGGCAGAGACAGAAGCCGGGUGCAUGGAGAGCGACCAGUCGGUGGCCAGCUUCUCCCUGUCCGCCGCCAUCAUCGAGGAGAAGUAGAACACGGGAGGUCGUCGCCACUUGGGACCCAUGAAGGCCACCAGCGAGGCGACGACCGCAGAUUCAGGUGGUUUCUUUGCUGCUUCGUCUCUUCCGAGGACCUUCAUCAACCCCGCAAGUGUCUGACGGACAUGAGGAAGGCAAAGGGAUCCGCGGGCGGCCAUUUAGAACUAAAAUAAGUCUAGAUAUAUCCAUUUCUAGGACAAGUAUUUCCGGACGGAGGGAGUAUUAAUUAUACAAGAGAGCCGGAUUGGCACCUCUUAGUUCAUGUAAAUGUAAUGAAAUCCAUCAUGUUUAUAUGAAGAUCCGGCUUUUUAUACGAAAUCCUUCAUGCUUAUAUGAAAUCAGUCCGUGUUUUCACGAAUUUCAUCUGCUUGGUUAGAGUUGUAAAAAUGUAUGUCGCUGGCGUUUGAUGUUGUCCUCUACGGAAGGAAGCGGGAGGAAAUUUGCCGGCUGCCGUUGGUGAUGCUCUUUAUGCUGGAAAUAAUAGAGUGACAUCCAAUCCAUUUGAGUUAAUUUCCUAUAUGAUUGUCCCUCUAUAAAAAGUUAAUUGCAUGUACAGUGUACACGUGACUUGCAGGGUGGCUACAGCUUCAUACAGAAAGUUAAAAAGAAACAAGUCCAUCCUUAAUAUUCUAAGUACUCUGUGGGUUCCACUGUCAGUACAGUAGCGAAAGAAGUAUAUAUUAAAUAAGUAGAUUAAUAUAUAAUAUACAAAUCUAAAGUUAAAACACAAAAUUCGAACUCAUGUCAUCGCAUUGCGAGCAUCCGGCGCUAACCAGCCCAGCACAUUUUUACUAUAAAGAAUUGUGUGGGAUGCGAUAUAAAAUAUUUUGGUGCACCGUCUUGUAUGGCUUAUGCAGGAAGCUUCGUCGUCUACGGUCCAUCUCCCCCGCUUGAACCACACUUGCGCGCAUGUUUCUCGCGGCAGCGAGCAAAAAAAGUUUCCACCACGGAAAUAUCUAUCUCCCCGCCCCCUCCCUCCCACCAAAAGCCACAUUUCCAAUGUUCCUCCUUGCUUUCCAAGUUCAAACCUUCACUGCUACUUACUGGCAGCUCAGCCUCCUCGCCGGCGACCCUUCUUCUUGCAGCGCCGCCUCCUCGCCGGCUACCCUUCUUCUUGCAGUGCCGCCUCCUUGUCGGCGACCCUUCUUCUUGCAGCGUCGCCUCCUCGCCGGUGACCCUUCUUCUUGUUGCGUGGCCUCCUCGCCGCCAACCCUUCUUCUUGUUGCGCGGCCUCGCCAAUAUGGUCAGGUAAUCCAUGCCCCACCCACACCAUCCUCCUCCUUUCUCGUCCCACAUGCCCCGAACAAUGGCGCGACACCUUCUGCCGAAAUCAUUGUCCCCCUCCUCCAAUUAAGUGCCGCCCACAGCCAUUUUGCAUGCAGUAUAACGUGGAGCUCAGUAGCAUCUGGCAGCAGAGAAGUAAAUCGCGGCCGCACGCACGCACAAGGUCGCUAUGGCUGCCAUGCGUGCCAACUGCCAAAUCUUGGAGGAGCACCUCAUCUUCGAGGCCACCGUCGACACCGCCAUGCGGUUGUCUACUUUAAAAUAUAGUUCAUGCUGUUUUCUCAAGGCCACCGCCAAUGCCUUCUAGUGAUUUGUCCUCUGUAAUGUUAAUAUGCAAUCUGAUGUUCAGUUUACAGUUUGGUCCUCUGAAAUGUAAUGUUUAGCUAACACUUUAGUCCUCUGAAAUGUAAUGUUCAGUUAACAGUUUGGUCCAACAAUUGCUACAUUUCGUAGUAGUGAUCUCAAGCAUUCUUUGUUUUGUUAAUUGUACAUGUUUCUAUUCUGCAAUGUUGUGCUUAGUUAACUAUUUUUGUUCAUUUGGUCUACUAUCCAUUUAACUGUUUGGUUCAGUUCUGCAAUUUGAUUUUCAUUUGUUGUGGGUACAAUUUUGUAUUGUUACGCAUGUGAAAUAAAUCGAAUUUGUCUAUACUCAAUACAUAUUCUACUGAUAGUAUGACAACUCUCAGUUAAUCUGAUCAAGAUCUUCCUUAUGUGUGUUGUAGGGAAACAAUGGGAGACACUGUGGUUUACCAUCGAGGUUUGUUCAAGCAUGGUCCUUUGGCUAAUAGCACAUUACUGUGCAGUUGCAGGAAUCAUUCUAAUAUUUAGGUUUCUUACAUUUGGUCUUGCACAUGUAGGUCCCGCUAUCAGAGGCUUAGACCCACUAUUCGACCCAUUUUGCAUAUGGGGAAAUGAGAUGUCCAUGAAUAUCAGUCAAGUUAAGAAACUCAAAAAGAUUGUUAGGAUGAAGAAACUUGCGAGAGAAUAACAGCAAGAUCUUUGUUUGCACAAUGAAGAAGACAUCAGUCAACUAUAGGAUUGUGCUAACUCUUUUACCUUGUUUUUACCCCUUGCGCCAUCGGUCAACUAUAGGAUGGUACUAACUCUUUUACCUUGUUUGCGUAUCUUUAUUUUCAGUACUUUUCAAAGCAGUUUGCCAAUGAUUACCUCUCAAACCACCUGCAUGGUCAAGAGGCAAGGAAGGUAUUCAUUCAACACCCACAGUACAAUAUUGAAGUCUUGCUGAAGAGGACGAAGGUUGGGUGGGCAAUUAUCCAUAGCCACUGGCCUAAAGUUGCUAGGACAUUCAACAUCACUGAAGGCUCAACAUUUGCCUUCUGCUUCUACAGUUUCCCAGAUGAGAUUUAUCUAUCUAUUUACCUUGUAUGAUGCUACUUUCUAAAGGUUUUUGAUGUUGCAUGUGAAACUUGGUGCUGUUGUGUAAUGGCGGAACUGAGUGCCAAAGCUAUCUGAUGUAAUUCGAUUAUGAAAUCAUGGUUGCUAUUAUACGGAUAUGAAAUAUCUGGUGUGUUUUUAUAAGAAAUAUCAAUUUGAUUAGUAGAUGGAUUAUCAAUAAUAGGCUAAUUACACAGCUUAUUGGGGUUUUCUAUUGUAGAUGGUUACUCAGACAGCACCAUGGGAGAUGAACUCAAACAACACGCACGGUUUCUAGAAAGUAGGCGUGUUCGAUCAACUAACAAUCACACACGGCUUCCGGUAUAGAACUAUUUGCGUUGGGCCACCUUGCACAAACGUUUCCACACAAAAAACUGUGUGUGAUAUACAUACGAGCGGAAAUGUUUUUCUGGGAUUCACCGUGUGGGAUGUACAUACGAACGGAAACAAUUGGGCUUCGAUGCCCUGCCAGAUCGCACACGAACUCAUUUUGCCCUAGCCAAUGUGCCAAGAGGGCCUAUCCCCGAUGGUUUCUGGGUCGUGUGGGAAGGACCCCCCCCCUAUCGCCCAUACUCACUUGGCGACGGUUCCAAACACCGUCGCGGAAAGGGGUUAAAAACCAUUUGUAUAGCAUGUUGUUGUACCAGUGCAUGUUCUAUUGACUCAGAAUGAAACCACAAUGCAGUUCUAGUAGAGUUGAAUAGCCACAUAGUAGGUAUUAAAAAUCACUCGCGCUAACAUGGCAGAUGAGUGCUUUAAUGAUGCCCACAAGAUGCGAGAGUAUUACUAUAUUUUUCUUGCCAUGCUGAGAUUUUAAAACUACGAAUGCGAACAUGCAGAGGAGCAAUGAGGACCAAAUGCGAGAUUUUGGGGACAUCUUCAAGGAGCAUCGCAAGUUAAAGAGGAGCUACACCGAACCAGUAAAAUGAGCUUUGGUAAGUAACAACAUUUCAACUACUUUGACAUUGAGAACCUGAGUAACAGUGGUGGAUAUUUUGUGUGUCCUUGAUGGUUUCAUUAAGGAAAUUAGAGGGAGCCCCCUCUUUGAUCAUUUUUUUACUUUUACAUGGUAUGUGUCUGGCAGCGGUAGUGAACACAGGACCAGGGCAGGCCCUGGGCAAGCCCCGAGCCGAAAAUAUCGUCAAACCAUGUUGUCUGCUUGGCUAGGGUUCUUGCCAUGCAAUCUAGCAGUGUGGGAGAUUAUUAAACAAUAAUAGGCGAGACAAACAAUUUCCUAUACACUUGAGUAGGCUCUCAAUCAUUUGUAGGAUCUCAAUUUACUCACUGGACCCACCAUGUCGUAGGAUGAAUCCUUUGUAAUUUAAUGUUGAAGCUAGUCAGUCAAACGUGUCUAUAGACACCCUGGAGAUCAUCUGGUUGCUUGUUGUUUUGCUGCAACAACCCUUAGCUUAGUGCACCCCCUCUGCUGGUUUUUCUAUUUCUCUUAGCCUUGUGUUCUUCAAUGUAUAUGUUGUAGUUUCUAUAAGCUGGAUCUGCAUGAUAUGUAAUAAGCAUAGUCUUAAUCGUCCUAAUGCUUUCCUUUGUAGCGUGAUGUAGGAAGUGGGUGUUCUCGCCUUGGAGUCUAUUUUUAUAUUUCUCCUUUUGAAUUCACUUCUCCUAGUCCUAUUUAUCGGGCUUCUACUUAAUGGAUCUGGGAGCUCUGACAAUUGAUCUAAAAAAGAAGUAACUUCUUAAUGUCAGGAUGCAGUUCCUGCGAGGAGGGAAGUAUGCUCAACCUUGAGAUCAUGUUUCUAAAUGAGGUUGGAUUACACACAAGGUGCCAGUUCCCUAAUGAUGUCAAAUUAGACACAAGGUGGAAAUUUCCAGAUGAUGCUGGAUUACUCACAAGCCAGGUCAAGUCCAAUUGUUUGUGUCCUCGUGGCUCUAGUAAAGGCUGAAAGAAAGCGUGCGGCGGCCUCGAGAAUGUAGCUGAGUUCCUGAAGAAGCGAAAAGAGCAAUCACAUGCUCUCUUCACCCAAGCCAAAGAAGAGAUGGAAGAAGCCAAAAAGAAGCUAGCAGAGGCACAGCAGGCUAGGCAUCUCCUGCUAUCUAAAACGGUUGUCAAUACAAAUUUUCAUUCAUAAUAGCUAGGUUCAAAUGUUUAUCCAGUCAGCAUGCCUAUUGUGAUGUUCGUGCAUCUACUGAGAUGUAUGUAAGUCUAUGAUGCCGAGAUGUGGCACAAAAUAUAUUUUUUUCUGGUCAUGUAAUAACAUCCAUUACUUUCCGAACAAUAAUAGAUGAACCAUUGGACAUGGUAUAGUUCACACGCAAGCCCAACAUUCCAAGUUCAACUUCCACAUCAAACUCAUGUUCAUAGAUAUCUUCACAUUCAUAGAUAAUGUCCACAACCAUGAUUCACUUCAAGGCAAAAAAAUGUGAGGAGAAAUAGAAAUAAAAAAUCUCUAGUUCUUACUACCAAUAUCAAUGCUUCUCCGAAACAACAUUUAGUUCAGAGCCAAAACACAAAUUCCUUCUGGGAGCAUUGAUGAAAAAGGUGCAAUUUCUACCAAGGGUGGAGGGGGGACUCACCUAUAAUUUUCUGGAGUUCCACUAAAAUUGAGGUAUCUACUUCUGUUUGCACAAACAUGCUUGAGAUAUAGAUUGGCAUCUGUGUUUGCAAAAAUAUGUAAAAGAUUUAUCAAUGGCAUUGCGUCAUUUUACAAGUGCCACUGGAUUUAUAGAUGGCCUAGAUUGACAGCAGCAUAUUAUUCCCUCUAUGACAUUGCAUCAUUUUACAAGUGGCACUGGAUUGAUAGCAAUAAAACAAUGGGAAUAUAAGGGCAUGCCGAUAUUGGGCGCGCCAACACCAUGUAGAAUACCUCCAUAGAGACAAUAAAUUGGCAAGGCAGAGAUGGUUGCCGAGAGCAAGAAACAUAUUAGUCAAGCACAAAAAAACAAGGCCAUAUGAAAUUAAUUAUAUUUUGGACAUUUUUAACUAAAUGUGAAUGGCCUUUGGAGGCAGGUAUAAUACAAACCGGCGUGCAUAGUCGUUUCAAGUGAUAUACUAUCGAUAAAACAAUAAACUUGGUCUAUGGUUAGUUUUAUGAAAAAACCUUCACAAAACUUAGCUACCUCGAACAAUGUUGCACAGAGUUCAAGGCGCAAGUGAGAGGGGUUUAGGGUUUUGAAUUCAAAAAAAUUCAAUAAAGCCAGAAAUGCUUCAUUAUGGAGUGACUAAGAAGGAUCUGAACUUACUUUUUCAUUUUCAUAUUUUAAGCAUGUUUUCUAAUGGUUCUCUAUAAAAGCAUAACCAAUUUAAAAAAUCAAGAAAUGGACAUUAAUUCAAUAAAUAGUGAGACUUCAAAUGGACAUUAUAUAGAUUGAAUAGGUCUUAAUAAAAAUUAUUUGGCUCAUUUAGACAAGUUGAAAAAAAAUGAUUACAAAUGGGGUUGUUUACCCUAGCUUCGGAGUUCAUUCUGAGCAUUUGGAGCUUCGGAGCUCAUUUGGAGCUUAGGAUCUCAUUUUGGAGCAAAUGUAUAAUAGUUCAGAAAACAUUGCAACAUCAUUUUGCAUUACUACACCUUACAAGUUUUCACACUAGUUCAAAGUUCAAAUUCAAAUAUUUGACUUGCUCCUUGUGUUCGCAAAUGGCUUAACUGUCUUGCUCCUGGUUUCCCUAGCUGGGAUAUUUUGCGGCUUUGUCUUCUUCCUUUUGAUCUUCACUUGGGAUAGUUGCUCCUGGUUUUACAAGCACUUGAUUACCAGUUGACGGUCAUAUGUUGGUUCCAUAAUCUUUAAAGGAACGAGAAGAACCAUGUCUUGCUCCUCUCUUAUAGCUUCAAAACCAUCAUAAGCUAUGGCUUCAAAUUCUACAUCAGAUGAUGAUUCAACAUAAGUUUCUUCCUCUCUAGGCCUUUUCUUUCCUUUUUCUCCACCUAUCCUAGAGUUGGUCAAACAAAAAUAAGAUUAGGGAUAAGCCAUCAAUAAAAAAGAGAGGAAAUGCAUACAAAAAAGGGAAGGCUGCACACAUACCAAGAUGUCGGUGCUUCUACUGCACACAUACCAAGAUGCCGGUGCUUCUCCUCUACUGUUGCAUUCUGCUCUGCAUUUCCUGCUGCCCAAUGUUCCUCUUCUCCAAAUGAUGCAUCCACUGGAUUGGUACAAAGCCUAGCAAUGUGCCCUAGGGUUCCACAUUUUUUGCACUUAUGCUGUCUUUUUACACGACCCUCUUCACCUGCUCUUAUCAUGUUCUUCCUUGGUCUUCCUGGUGGUCUAGUAAGUAUAGGAGAAUAUAGUUUGAACCAUGGAUCUACUCUAUUCCAUUGGUAUUUUCCCAAGAGUGCAGGUACAUUGUGAGCAUAAGCAGCCCAAAAUUUGGCAACAGAGAAAUAUUCAGAGCAAUACUGAUCAACUUCACCAUCUUCACCCCUGAUAACAGUCAUGAGAUGUAAGGCAUGUUUGUUACAACUGCAUUCCCUAGUUGCUAGGUUCACUGGAUACCUCCAUUCCCUAUUUUUAGUGUCAAUAUAUGUUACCUUAGCCUCGUAUGUCGACGGUCAAAUGCAUAUCAUCUUCAAUCCUCUUGCCUUGGCAUGAAAUGCCUUAAUCAGAGAUGGGAGCAUAACAUGGCCAAUGUAUUGCGUUUCUGCAAUUAUUUUACGAAGAGCCAUCUUUAUCAUGAUCAUCUGCCUUAUCUUAUCAAAUGCUUGCCACAACAAUAGCCCUUUCACUGACUUGACCUUUGCAUUGAAGCACUCUGUGAGGUUACUAGUCAUAUAGUCUACUUUGCAGAUUUCAUUGAAUUUGCUUCUUAACCAGACCAUUCCAUGAUGUGCUUCCAAGUACUCCUUCACCUCAGGAUUGUGAGCAUGCAACACUCUCAAAUGGUGCCCAUGCUUCCUGAAGCUGCAUGUGUAUGAUGUUGGCCAUAGGUUCUUAUUGUAAACUUUACCUCUGAAUUUCUUUUUAAAAUUCUACGCUAGGUGUCACAUACAUUCCCUAUGCUCUGCUCCAGGGAAUAAAAUUCCUAUUGCAGUCUCUAAACCCUUGCAAGCAUCUGUGGGUAUAGCUACACCUGGGGGUGUGCCUAUAAUGUUGCACAAUUGCUGCAGAAACCAAACCCAAUUUUCCUCGGACUCUGCCUCCAACACACCAAAUGCAACUGGGAAUAGCCAAUUAUGUCCAUCAACUGCAGAAGCUGCUAAUAGCUGUCCCCUCCAUCUUCAAUUCAAAGCAAUUGCGUCGACAGCCAAAUAGGGCCUGCAACCAUCCAGAAAACCAUGCCAGCAAGCCAUGAAACAAACAAAAACCCUCCUGAAGCACUCCUCAAAUGACUUCCCUCUUAUUUUGUAUGAAAUUGUAUGCUUGUCAAUCUCUACAACACUCCCUAGACUAGCCAUCUCCACUUCAGCUUUGUAAGUGUAAAGCAACUGAAAACUCUCAUUCCAUGGACCACUUAUCCUGUCAAGAGCCAUUUCCCUACCAUAAAAAAUCCUCAUGUAAGGUAUAUCAAUUUUGUACUUCUCAAAAAGCUUCCCAUGGAGUGUUGUUGGACCAAGUGAUGGUGUUUCUCUUAGCCAAUCCAAGAUUGCAUCUGCCACCCACCUAGUCUUUGCUAGCUUUGUUUUGGUCUUUCCCCCUCCCCCUCCAGGUGGACAAGUGUGCUAGUGUGGGUUUUGUUUUAUCUGAAACAAAAUAAAUUAUAAUUAAGAAACAUUACACAAUGAUCUGAAAACAUAAUGGAUCAAUAAAUUGAAAUCCACAAUGAGGUGUGAUACAUGAAUCAAUUUGCUCUUUCGCAUACGGGAUGCAUGCAGCCUCCACCUACACCUAUCAUAUGGGAAAUGAAUAGUGAACCUUGUUGCCUCACUCCUAUCAAUCACAUAAUUAUUUUCAGUGAGCAUGCAAUAUGUACUCACUACAUUACGAUAGUCCACCAUCGAUUCGGAUAUGGUUCCUAGAGUGAGUUGGGGAUCUUACCUAUUCCACUCAAUUGUUGGCAUGUCGUCACCAUUGUAUUCAUCUAAAACUAAGCGAUCAAUGUUCUCAUCCCUCUCUUCAUCAUCAGUGUCAUCAAAUCUAGCAUGACUGCUGGGCUCCUCCAGAUAUUCAUCUUCCAUUGUAUGUUGACUGACUGUAUCUACUAGUUCAGGGUACAUCAUCUCAUCCUCAUCGUCAAGUUGAGGCACUUCCUCGUCAGGCUCUGCACUCUACUUCUAUAGUAGCUGCAAAAGGGACAGAAGAAGCGAUAGCACUAGUAGUAGUGGACAUGUUGUGGCUUUCAGAACCACUUGGUUUACUUGGUCUCGACCUACAAGGAGUGUCAGGGCGCUCGCUAUUAUCAGAGACAGAUGAUGCAUGAACACUCUUCCCCUUGUCUUGUUCUUUGCAUGGUUAAAGCACCUCGAUACGGACUUUACUGAAAUGUCUGUCAGCAUUCAAACUAAUAGCAAUUCCAGAUGCUCGUCGCAAGUUAGUGGGAGAAAUCUUUGCUCAUUGCUGUUGAAAUAUUUCAGUUCAACAGCAUCGGCAGAGCUCCAGUCAUACACGGAAUAGAGUGCAUCACAAAAAUCUUUGAAUGAAAUGUUGGUUUCUACUACCUUCAGGUAGAAAACUCCAUAGAUCAUAUGUGGUUUAGUACCACACAGCAUGCUGGUUUCCAUUCUAACCGCCAACCGAAAAGCAAGCGCAGGAUCAAUCCUAUUUGAUCAAAAUAAAGGGUGAAAACGAAAAGCAAGCAUAGGAUCAAUCCUAUUUGAUCAAAAUAAAGGGUGAAAAAUUAAGCAGCCCAAAUUUGUACGAUUCAAGCGAGUAGUUGUCAAAUACUGCCUAAUUGACGAGUUUUCUCAUAAAUUCGAGGGGAAACUAUGCUUACCCACAUGGAAUCCAUGAAUUAUCCGCCUCCGAUUCCACCCAAUCAUCUCCACGGUUGAUGGGCCGGAGGGUGUCUACCCCCGACAUCGCUUCUUAACCCUAGAUUGGGGGGAGGGGUGAUGUGGCGAAGGCGCGACAUCACCUAUAGACGGAAUAGGGUUAGAGGGUGGAGGGCACGAUGGCGGCGGCGGAGGAGGAGGCACCACGGGAGUGGCUCAAACUAUUUUAGACAAGCUGCUCCGACGUGCCUUCUUGCGGACCCACUCGUCAGGAUGUAACGGUCAAAGGAGGAACCGGCCUAGCCCCACUCGUCAGUAGUUAACAGUCAAACCAUUGACCUGAUGGCAAACGUCUAGUUUGACCAUUGGUGAGAGUUUCAGACAAGAGUGUGGGGAAAAGUAAGCAAAAGUUUAGGGCGUGGGCACAACUGAGCACAACUAAGGAACCAGGGGAACUAUCAUAAAAACCCAAAUUUCUAGGCCUAUUACUAAUCUUUUGCAAAAACAUGUUCCCUUUGUUUUUUAUGAUGAUUGUAAGCCUUUGAAAUACUUAAGAAAGCCUUAAUUUCGGCACCUAUUGUUCAAACACCUGAUUGGAACUUGCCUUUUGAAAUUAUGUGUGGUUGAUGUUCUAGGACAAAGAGUCGAUAAGAAAUUGAAUGUUAUCCAUUAUGCUAUUAAAACUCUAGACAGUGCUCAAAGAAAUUAUGCUAUUAACUGAGAAACAUUUUUUAGCAGUUGUGUUUGCAUGUGAUAAAUUCAGAUCUUAUAUUAUUGAUUCUAAAGUAACUGUUCACACCGAUCAUGCUGCUAUUAAAUAUCUUAUGGAAAAGAAAGAUGCUAAACCUAGGCUGAUUAGGUGGGUUCUUUUGCUACAAGAAUUUGAUUUUCAUAUUAUUGAUAGAAAGGGAGUUGAGAAUCCCGUAUCUGAUAAUUUUUCUAGAAUGGAAAAUGUUCUUGAUGACCCACUGCCUAUUGAUGAUAAUUUUCCUAAUGAACAAUUAGCUGUUAUAAAUGCUUCUCAUAAUACUCAUUUGUAUGCAGACUAUGCUAAUUACAUUGUUGCAAAAUAUAUACCACCUAGUUUUACAUACCAACAAAAUAAAAAGUUCUUCUUUGAUUUAAGAUAUUACUUUCGGGAUAACCCACAUCUAUAUAAAGAAGGAGUAGAUGGUGUUAUUCAAUGUUGUGUGCCUGAGCAUGAACAGGAACAAAUUCUAUGGAAGUGUCACUCCGAGGCAUAUGGAGGACAUCAUGCUGGAGACAGAAUUGCACAUAAGGUAUUGCAGUCUGGUUUUUAUUAGCCUACUCUCUUCAAAGAUGAACGUAAAUUCGUCCUUUCUUGUGAUGAAUGUUAAAGAAUUGGUAAUAUUAGUAGACGUUAGGAAAUGCCUAUGAAUUAGUCACUUGUUAUUGAGCCAUUUGAUGUUUGGGGAUUUGAUUAUAUGGGACAUUUUAGUUGAUGUUGAUUAUGUUACUAAGUGGGUAGAAUCUAUUCAACUAGUAGUGUUGAUCACAACACUUCUAUUAAAAUGCUUAAAGAAGUUAUUUUCCCGAGGCUGAUCUGGUGACUUUUAGUAGUGGCCAACACUCUAGCCAGAUUGAUUUCAUCCUCUCGAGAAGAGAAGAUAGGCGUGCGUGCCUAGACUGUAAGGUGAUACCUGGGGAGAGUGUUGUACCCCAGCAUAAGCUGGUGGUUGCUGACUUCCGCUUUCGGAUUCGUGUCCAGCGGGAUAAGCGUGCCAAGGUCGCUAGAACGAAGUGGUGGAAGCUCAAGGGGGAGGUAGCUCAGGUGUUCAAGGAGAGGGUAUUUAAGGAGGGCCCUUGGGAGGAAGGAGGGGAUGCGGACAAUGUGUGGAUGAAGAUGGCGACUUGCAUUCGUAAGGUGGCCUCGGAGGAGUUUGGAGUGUCCAGGGGAAGGAGAAGCAAAGAUAAGGAUACCUGGUGGUGGAAUGAUGAUGUCCAGAAGGCGCUUAAAGAGAAGAAAGAUUGCUUCAGACUCCUAUACCUGGAUAGGAGUGCAGACAACAUAGAGAAGUACAAGAUGGUGAAGAAGGCCGCAAAGCGAGCUGUUGGUGAAGCAAGGGGUCGGGCAUAUGAGGACCUCUACCAACGGUUAGGCACGAAGGAAGGUGAAAGGGACAUCUAUAAGAUGGCUAAGAUCCGGGAGAGGAAGACGAGGGAUAUUGGCCAAGUCAAAUGCAUCAAGGACGGAGCAGGCCAACUCUUGGUGAAGGACGAAGAGAUUAAGCAUAGAUGGCGGGAGUACUUCGACAAGCUGUUCAAUGGGGAGAAUGAGAGUUCUACCAUUGAACUGAAUGACUCCUUUGAUGAGACCAGCAUGCGUUUUGUGCGGCGCAUCCAGGAGUCUGAGGUGAAGGAGGCUUUAAAAAGGAUGAAAGGAGGCAAGGCGAUGGGCCCUGAUUGUAUCCCCAUUGAGGUGUGGAAAGGUCUCGGGGACAUAGCGAUAGUAUGGCUAACCAAGCUUUUCAACCUCAUUUUUCGGGCAAACAAGAUGCCAGAAGAAUGGAGAUGGAGUAUAUUAGUACCAAUCUUCAAGAACAAGGGGGAUGUUCAGAGUUGUACUAAUUACCGUGGAAUUAAGCUGAUGAGCCAUACAAUGAAGCUAUGGGAGAGAGUCAUUGAGCACCACUUAAGAAGAAUGACAAGCGUGACCAAAAAUCAGUUUGGUUUCAUGCCUGGGAGGUCGACCAUGGAAGCCAUUUUCUUGGUACGACAACUUAUGGAGAGAUAUAGGGAGCAUAAGAAGGACUUGCAUAUGGUGUUCAUUGACUUGGAGAAGGCCUAUGAUAAGAUACCGCAGAAUGUCAUGUGGUGGGCCUUGGAGAAACACAAAGUCCCAGCAAAGUACAUUACCCUCAUCAAGGACAUGUACAAUAAUGUUGUGACAAGUGUUCGAACAAGUGGUGUCGACACCGAUGACUUCCCGAUUAAGAUAGGACUGCAUCAGGGGUCAGCUUUGAGCCCUUAUCUUUUUGCAUUGGUGAUGGAUGAGGUCACAAGGGGUAUACAAGGAGAUAUCCCAUGGUGUAUGCUCUUUGCGGAUGAUGUGGUGCUAGUUGACGAUAGUCGGACGGGGGUAAAUAGGAAGUUAGAGUUAUGGAGACAAACCUUGGAAUCGAAAGGGUUUAGGCUUAGUAGAACUAAAACCGAGUACAUGAUGUGCGGUUUCAGUACUACUAGUUGUGAGGAGGAGGAGGUUAGCCUUGAUGGCCAGGUGGUACCUCAGAAGGACACCUUUCGGUAUUUGGGGUCAAUGUUGCAGGAGGAUGGGGGUAUUGAUGAAGAUGUGAACCAUCGAAUCAAAGCCGGAUGGAUGAAGUGGCGCCAAGCUUCUGGCAUUCUAUGUGACAAGAGAGUGCCACAAAAGCUAAAAGGCAAGUUCUACAGGACGACGGUUCAACCCGCAAUGUUGUAUGGCGCGGAGUGUUGGCCGACUAAAAGGCGACAUGUUCAACAGUUAGGUGUGGCGGAGAUGCGUAUGUUGAGAUGGAUGUGUGGCCACAUAAGGAAGGAUCGAGUUCGGAAUGAUGAUAUACGAGAUAGAGUUGGGGUAGCACCAAUUGAGGAGAAGCUUGUCCAACAUCGUUUGAGAUGGUUUGGGCAUAUUCAGCGCAGGCCUCCAGAAGCUCCAGUGCAUAGCGGACGGCUAAAGCGUGCGGAGAAUGUCAAGAGAGGGCGGGGUCGACCGAUUUUGACAUGGGAGGAGUCCGUUAAGAGAGACCUGAAGGAUUGGAGUAUCGACAAAGAGCUAGCUAUGGACAGGGGUGCGUGGAAGCUUGCUAUCCAUGUGCCAGAGCCAUGAGUUGGUUGCGAGAUCUUAUGGGUUUCACCUCUAGCCUACCCCAACUUGUUUGGGACUAAAGGCUUUGUUGUUGUUGUUGUUGUUGUGGAUUCCCUAGUUAUUUAAUGAAUGAUGGAGGUUCACAUUUUAUUCAUGGUGCCUUCCAUAAACUUCUUGCUAAAUAUGAUGUCAACCAUAGAAUUGCGUCACCUUAUCAUCCUCGGUCUAGUGGUCAAGUUGAAUUGAGCAAUAGAGAAAUAAAGUUAAUUUUGCAAAAGACCGUUAAUAGAUCCAGAAAGAAUUGGUCUAAGAAACUUGAUGAUGCAUUAUGGGCUUAUAGAACUGCUUAUAAAAAUUCUAUAGGUAUGUCCCCCUAUAAAGUGGUCUAUGGAAAAGCAUGUCAUUUACCUCUUGAGUUAGAACAUAAAGCUUAUGGGGCAAUUAAAGAACUUAAUUAUGAUUUCAAACUUGCCGGUGAAAAGAGGUUAUUUGAUAUUAGUUCUCUAGAUGAAUGGAGGACACAAGCUUAUGAAAAUGCCAAGUUGUUUCAAGAAAAGGUUAAAACAUGGCAUGACAAAACAAUUUUAAAACGGGAAUACAAAGUAGGUGAUCAAGUUCUAGUAUAUACAAUUCUUGUUUAAGAUUCUUUGCAGGAAAACUUCUCUCUAAAUGGGAAGGACCAUACAUCAUCGAAGAAGUUUAUCGCUCCGGAGCUAUCAAGAUCAACAGUCCUGAAGGCACUAACCCGAGGGUUGUUAAUGGGUAAAGAAUUAAACAUUAUAUCUUAGAUACACCCAUUAAUGUUGAAACUAAUAUUAAACAAACUAUGACAUCGGAACAUCACAUAGAGGAAACCUUCCGGAAAGCUCCAGAAGCCUGAAAAGGACUAGGUACGUGGUACGGUAAGUAAACUGACUCCAAAAAUUCCAUAAAAGUACUUUUUGUUCGUUUUGGAAUAUUUUAAAAUUAGGGAAAUAAUAAACAGUCGAAAAAGUGUACGAGGGAGCGACAAGCCUGGGGGCGCACCUACCGAACUUGUGGCUCCCCCGUGGACUUUCCUGACUCCAUUUUUCUUCCAUAUUGCUUGUUGAAAAAAAACAUUAUAUAUACUCCUGGAAGUUUUGACCACUGUAUCACAAGCUUCUCCUCUGUCCUUGUUUCAUGCUGAUUAUUGUCAGAUUUCCAGGACCAUGCAUCAUGUCUUCUUCCUCCUCCAACAACGUGGGAGACGAUGCUUUGUUGAUGCAGAUGGAACUCAAGAGAGAGGACGCUGAGGAGGUCACCAUGGAAGAAGAAGGAGAUUCGCUUGAGGUCCACCCUCCAACUUCGGAGAGAGGCAGUCUAGCUGGCAUCUCCACUACUCCCAACCCCCAUCGGGUUAUGGUAACGACAAGUAACCAAGUAAGCCAAGAGGUACAAGAAGGGCUUGCCCCUAGGAGGCCCUUACAUAGGUUAAAUUGGAACAACUUUCAUAAUUUGGCUCACAAUUAUGGGUUUGAGAAUACUCCUCGUAUGCACAUACCUUCCAAUUGGGACAUCUCUUGUCCAAGUGAAAGUGAUGCAGGAAAUAAUGCUUGGGGACCGAAGAACAAACUUAUUAUGUCCGAAGUGCAAAAGAAUGUUGAGAUCAUUCAUCAUGUGCUUCAGGAAAUUCAUAGUUUGAAGGAGAUCUUGAUGAACAUUAUGAAGGACAGGCCUACCACCUCAUCACCACCACCAUCACCGAAGAAGGAGAGUUGAGUACACGGGUAUGGGCACCACUCUUAGCUUGUGUGAAGCUUGGGGAGGUGCCCUAGUAUCGUAUCACCAUCACUUUUAUCAUCAUUACCUGUCUUAGUUUGAUCCUUAGUUAUUUUGUGAUUUAGAAGAAUAAAGUUUUAGUUCGAUCUAUUUUUGAGUGCUUGCCUAGUAAUCUAUCUAUGUAAUCGAGUGUGAGAGUUAUAUAAUAAAUAGUAGUUUGAGUUGAAUUGUUUUACUUUCUUGUUUCAAUCUAAAGGAAUAAAAAGAAUAAAAAGAUCAUAUGUUAAUCCCAUGGGAAGUGAUGACCUCACAUAAAAGAAGUAUAAUUGAUGAAAUUUGUUGAAAGUUAACAAACAUAGCAUUCUUCAUUGUUGCAAUCCAUGAAAAGUAAUAAAGAAAGAGAGCUCUCAUAUAUAAAUAUACUAUCUUGGACAUCUUUUAUGAUUGUGAGCCCCGUUCAAAUAUUCUAUGCCAAUUAGUUGACGUUGGACAAGGAAGACAACGUAAUGAGUUAUGUUUGCUUAUAUUCACAUAGAAGUUAUAUUGUCAUUGAUCCUCUAACAUGUGGUGCUUGCUCACUAUAUUUUGCUAGCCAAAAAUUCGCACCAAGUAGAGAUACUACUUGUGCAUCGAAAACCCUUAAACCCGGUUCAUGUCAUGAGAGUCCACUAUAUCUACCUAUGGAUUGAAUAAGGUGCUUCAAGUAAGUUGUCAUCCAAUAAAAUCCUAAAUAUGUAUGAUCUUUUAUUGUAAGGGAAAAUAAGCUUUGUGCGAACUUGUGAUCAUGAAAAAAUAAAAGAAACAGACUGCAUAAUAAAGGUUGCUAUCACAAGGGGCAAUAUAAAGUGGCGUUCCUUUACAUUAAGAGCUUGCACAUCCAAAAACAAAAAGUGCAUGACAACCUCUGGUUCCAUGUGCGAAGGGCAUAUCUUUUACUCUAUGUAUUUACUUUUUAUGCCAGAGUCAAUAGUGUUCCUCUCUAUUCCUCUUUAUUUUCUCUCUUGGCAAGCAUCAUGUGGUGAGAAAAGAUCUGGGCAUAUAUAUCUAGUUGAAUGUAGGUGAUCAUGAGUUAUUACUGUUGACAUUACCUUCGAGGUAAAUAAGUUAGGAGGCGAAACUAUAAGCCCCUAUCUCUUUAUGUGUCUGACUGAAACUUUUGCUCCAUAAAUAUGUCCUGAGUGUCGGCAAUCAUAGAAGAAUAAAUGAUAGUUGAUUAUGUGAACUUGCCAAACAAAGCUCUUACAUAUACUCUUUCUGAUAAUAUGAUAAAGUGAAAUUACUUCAGUGACCGAGAUCAUAGUUUAUUAGUUUUCAAUGAAGUUUAUGGUUCAUAAUUUGUCUUGUGAACAAAUUGUCACUUAUUCAUGAGAAGUUUUAUGAUGGUAUAUUGUUGUUAUAAUAGUGAUCAUGAUGCUUUCAUGCCCAUAUUUUGUUUUUAUCGACACCUCUCUCUCUCUAAACAUGUGGUCAUGAUUAUCGAGUUUGACUUUCGCUUGAGGACAAGCGAGGUCUAAGCUUGGGGGAGUUGAUACGUCCAUUUUGCAUCAUGUUUUCCCAUUGUUAUUUAUUAUGUUUUGGUUCAUUAUUUCACUUUAUGAUAUAAUUCUUAUGCCUUUUCUUUCUUAUUUUGCAAGUUUCACAUGAAUAGGGAGAUUGUCGGCAACUGGAAUUCUGGAUCGGAAAGGGCUACAGCAGAGAUAGCUAUUCUGCACAACUCCAAAUGACCUGAAAAUUUAUGGAGAAAUAUUUUUGAAUAUAUAAAAAAUAUUGGUGCAAGAAAUACCACCAGGGGACCCACUAGGAAACAACAAGCCUGGGGGGCGCCCCCGAGCUUGUGGCAACCCUGGCAGGCCUCCGGGGCCCAUCUUCUCCUAUAUGAAGCCAUUUUCCCUAAAAACAGAAGAAAUGUUUCGGGAGAAGCGCCGCCAUCUCGAGGCGGAACCUGGGCAGGAGCACUUUGCUCUGCGGCGGAGCGAUCCCGCUGGGGAAACUUCCCUCCGGGAGGGGGGAAUCGAAGCCAUCGUCAUCACCAACGAUCCUCUCAUCAUGGGAGGACCAAUCUUCAUCAACAUUUUCACCAGCACCAUCUCAUCUCAAACCCUAGUUCAUCUCUUGUAUUCUGUCUUUGUCCCAAAACCUCAGAUUGGUACCUAUGGGUUGCUAGUGGUGUUGAUUACAUCGUGUAGUUGAUGCUGGUUGGUUUAUUUGGUGGAAGAUUAUAUGUUCAGAUCCUUAAUGAUAUUCAAUACCCCUCUGAUCUUGAACAUGAAUAUGAUUUGUGAGUAGUUACUUUUGUUCUUGAGGACAUGGGAGAAGUCCGGUUAUAAGUAAUCAUGUGAAUUUGGUAUUCGUUCGAUAUUUUGAUGAUAUGUAUGUUGUUGCUUCCUGUAGUAGUGUCAUGUGAACAUCAACUACAUGGAACUUCACCAUACUUGGGCCUAAGGGAAGGCAUUGUGGUGUAGUAAUUAGAUGAUGAGUUUCUAGAGUGAUAUAAGCUUAAACCCUAGUUUAUGCGCUAUUCCGUAAGGGCUAAUUUGGAUCCAUAUGUUUCAUACUAUGGUUAGAUUUAUCUUAAUUCUUCUUUCAUAGUUGCCGAAGCUUGCGAGAGGGGGUAAUCAUAAGUGGGAGGCUCGUUCAAGUAAGAACAGCACCCAAGCACCGGUCCACCCACAUAUCAAAUUAUCAAAGUAGCGAACACAAAUCAAAUAAACAUGAUGAAAGUGACUAGAUGAAUUUCCAUGUGUCCUCAAGAAUGCUUUGCUUACUAUAAGAGAACGUUUCGGCCAGUCCUUCGCUAUAAAAAGGAUUGGGUUACCUUGUUGCACCUUUGUUACUAUUGCUACUUGUUACUUGUUACGAAUUACCUUGCUAUCAAACUAUUUGUUACCGAUAAUUUUAGUGCUUGCAGAGAAUAUCUUGCUAAAAAUCGCUUGUCAUUUCCUUCUGCUCCUCGUUGGAUUCGACACUCUUACUUAUCGAAAGGACUACAGUUGAUUCUCUAUACUUAUGGGGCAUCAAUGUACAUGGCUUAGUGGAUCGUUGUAACCUCAUGCUGUAAAAAGGACAUCGCGGGGAAGAAGAACAGUAAAUGCUUAAGUGGUGAGGAUAGUAUCAAGGGGUGGAGCGCCAUGUGGGGUGAUCUUGUCAAAUACCGGGGCGGAAACAACAGUCUAACCGAUUGUGGGGGCUCCGGCUCAGCGGUAUAAGGGUGUGUUUGGUUCAGAAAUGAGGUGGAAUGGAAUGUCAAGGUUCCAUUCCACUAGAAUGGGGUGGUUCUAUUCCUAUGUUUAGUUGGGAUAAUUAGGUGGAACGAUUUCAGUGUUUGAUUAGGGGAAUGGAACGGAAUGAAUUUAGUAAAACUUACCUCUUGCAUAAAAAUGGUGAGAUCUUCCUAUGAGAUUACCUUAUAGAACUAGAAUACUAUAUUAUCAACACAUUAUUAGAAUUACCAGCAAAAUUUCAAUUGUAUUACAGUUUAGAUGAUUUAUAAAUACAGUCACUAUAUAUAAGAAAUUAGUUGACCAUGGUUAGCUUGAGGUAGAGAAUGUUGGGAGGAUCACACCAUAAUGACACAACAUUAGUUGUUGAAUCUACAAAGAAUUGCCAUUACCAUAAAAUGGUUCAUACGGAUGUAGGUGUGGGUGGGCCACGGUGUGUUAUUAUUUUUUAUUUUUUAUUUUGGACCCACACGUGUUUAUUUUAUUUUAUUUGAGGAAACAAAUUUAGUAUAUUCAUUUUCAAUCAUGGCAGUAUAAUGAACAUCAAAAAUAUUAAAAAUUACAUCUAAAUCCGUAGACCACCUAGUAACGACUACAAGCACGGAAAUGAGCCGAAAGCGCGUUGUCGUCCUCGCCCCUCCCUCGUCGAAGCUGGGCAAAACUUGUUGUAGAAGUCGCACGACGUGUUAAUAUUGAUUGAAGCAGUUGAUCGAAUUUAUAAACGUGUUGUGCUAAUGGUGAUUAGCAUUGGUGUGGCUUUUUAAUACGUGCGUGUUGGACAGGGAAAUUUUGAGAAAAAUAUGAACUCCUAUAUCGACUACCAUCGGUAAAAAUGAACUCGAAAUAACUAUUUUAGUUAAAUGACAAAUAGGGUAUAUUAUAUAAAAGUUAUGAACUCUCAUUACAAACAUAUAAUAUCUAAUUCUGAGGCGCCAUAAUUCAAAACAAAAUUUGAAAACAGAUAUGUGCGUGAACUGCUAGAGGGCCCCGCUGGAUGAAUCAAGAUGGGCGACCAUUACCUGUACCAAGUCUGGUACUGCAUGCAACCAGGGGCGCCCCUGCGGGAGCUUAUACAGGAGCUCCUAACGGGCGCCUUCAGCGCCGGUUCCCGUUCUGGCGCCCACACGCCCGCUAACUGGGCCGGCCCAGCUUGCCUCGUUCGCUUGUUCCACUUCUGCUUGUUCGCUUCCCUCGCUCUCCUCGUUCAUUCUUCCUCGAUCACCUACUUCGCUCCUUGGAGUGGUCAAGUAUUGACUUUUGACCAAAAAAACAAAAAACGAAAAUUUUUGUCAAUUCAAGAAUUUUCAUAAAACUUGAAAUGAAGUCCAGGAACUUAUAAAAAGUUCACAAAUUUGAAAAAAAGUUCAUCAAUAAAGAAAAAUCGAUUUUGAAAAAAUGAAAAUCUUAAAUAUGCGAACAAAUGUUUCAAAAAUCAUAUGCAAAUUUCGAAUAUUCCAUUUAUUUUAAACCUGAACUAUGUUUUUCAAAAACUGAACAAAUUUCGAAUUUGGAUACUUUUUUUGUACUGUGAACAAUUUUUAGAAAGCGAAUUUAGAAUACACAUUGAACAUUUUCUUAGUACAGGGAGAACAUUAUUCAAAGAAACACUGAACAGUUUUUAAAAUAUGCUGAACUUUUUUUGAAUGCAUGCUGAACAAAAUUUCUCUACGCGAUGAACAUUUUUUAUACACAUUGAACAUUUUUUCAAUGUAUGGUGAACAAUAUUCAAAUAUACAUAGAACUUUUUUUAAAAUACGAUGAACACCUUUUGAAUGCAUGCUGAACAAAAUUUCUAUACAUGAUGAACAUUUUUUCAAUGUAUGGUGAAAUUUUUUCUUGAAUACAGUGAACAAAAAUUUGGAAUUCAGAACUAUUUUUGAAACGUGAACAAAAUUAAAAAACAUGAACAAAAUUUGGAAUUUGGAAAAACAUUUUCUGAAAAGUCAAACGAAUUUCGAAAAAUCUGAACAUAUUUUGGAUAUUGAAAGUAGUUUAUCGAUUUUGGAAAACUUUCAUCAAAUUCAAAAAAGUUCAUCGAUUUUUGAAAAAGUUCACCGAUUUUAAUAAAAGUUAAUUCAACUUGACAAAAGUGUAGGACUUUGAAAAAACGUUCGCGCAUUUAAGAAAAUAAAAAGGAAAGGAAAAAAGGAGCCAGAAAAAAGAAACGCCUAGAAAUCACGAAGCCGUGGAAAACUGGUUUGGGGGGCUCCCGCGGCCUAGGUAAAACAAACACCGGAAGAAGGCAAUAGACACAUGCAGUAGCAUGUCGUGCUGGUCAGUGCGCUGCUUUACCAACCGAGAGAUCGCGAGUUCGAUACCCCGCUUAGGCAAUUCGAUUUUUACUGCAGUUUUGAACCCCAAAAAUAAAAGACACGGGCCGGCCCAGCGCGGCGCUAGGGGUAUGCGCCCGUUUGCGGUUAGUGAAGAAACGUAAGCGCCCGUUAGGAAAUGCCCUCCUAUACAGCGCUGCAGGCGCCCGUUAACGAUCCGGCGCUGCAGUGCUGCUAGCAUGGGCCGGCCCACUAGCAUGCUGCCCUAAGUGUUUUUCAGUUUUUUUUACGAAAAAAAAUAUGAAAUGAAGAAAGGUUUACAGAUUUAAAGAAAAAAAGUUCAUCCAUUUGAAAAAAUAUAUUCAUAUCUUUAAAAAGGUUCAUAAAUUUUGAAAAAGUUCAUCAAUUUGAAAAAAUGUUCAUUCGAAUUGAAAAAAAAGUUCAUCCAAUUUAGAAAAAGUUCAUUAAAUUUAUAAAAAGUUCAUAGAAAUUGCAAAAAAGUUCAUGGAACUGAAAAAAAAAGUUCAUAAAUCAAAGACACGGGCCGGCCCAGCGCGGCGCUAGGGGUAUGCGCCCGUUUGCGGUUAGUGAAGAAACGGGCGCUUAAGGCGCCCGUUAGGAAAUGCCCUCCUAUACAGCGCUGCAGGCGCCCGUUAACGAUCCGGCGCCUGCAGUGCUGCUAGCAUGGGCCGGCCCACUAGCAUGCUGCCCUAAGUGUUUUUCAGUUUUUUUUACGAAAAAAAAUAUGAAAUGAAGAAAGGUUUACAGAUUUAAAGAAAAAAAAGUUCAUCCAUUUGAAAAAAUAUAUUCAUAUCUUUAAAAAGGUUCAUAAAUUUUGAAAAAUUUCAUCAAUUUGAAAAAAUGUUCAUUCGAAUUGAAAAAAAAGUUCAUCCAAUUUAGAAAAAGUUCAUUAAAUUUAUAAAAAGUUCAUAGAAAAUGCAAAAAAGUUCAUGGAACUGAAAAAAAAGUUCAUAAAUCAAAGACACGGGCCGGCCCAGCGCGGCGCUAGGGGUAUGCGCCCGUUUCGGUUAGUGAACAAACGGGCGCUUAAGGCGCCCGUUAGGAAUGCCCUCCUAUACAGCGCUGCAGGCGCCCGUUAACGAUCCGGCGCCUGCAGUGCUGCUAGCAUGGGCCGGCCCACUAGCAUGCUGCCCUAAGUGUUUUUCAGUUUUUUUUACGAAAAAAAUUAUGAAAUGAAGAAAGGUUUACAGAUUUAAAGAAAAAAAGUUCAUCCAUUUGAAAAAAUAUGUUCAUAUCUUUAAAAAGGUUCAUAAAUUUUGAAAAAGUUCAUCAAUUUGAAAAAAUGUUCAUUCGAAUUGAAAAAAAAGUUCAUCCAAUUUAGAAAAAGUUCAUUAAAUUUAUAAAAAGUUCAUAGAAAUUGCAAAAAAGUUCAUGGAACUGAAAAAAAAGUUCAUAAAUCAAAAAAAGUUCAUGGAAUAGAAAUUGCAAUUCGAUUUUUACUGCAGUUUUGAACCCCAAAAAUAAAAGACACGGGCCGGCCCAGUGCGGCGCUAGGGGUAUGCGCCCGUUUGCGGUUAGUGAAGAAAUGGGCGCUUAAGGCGCCCGUUAGGAAAUGCCCUCCUAUACAGCGCUGCAGGCGCCCGUUAACGAUCCGGCGCCUGCAGUGCUGCUAGCAUGGGCCGGCCAACUAGCAUGCUGCCCUAAGUGUUUUUCAGUUUUUUUUACGAAAAAAAAUAUGAAAUGAAGAAAGGUUUACAGAUUUAAAGAAAAAAAGUUCAUCCAUUUGAAAAAAUAUGUUCAUAUCUUUAAAAAAGUUCAUAAAUUUUGAAAAAGUUCAUCAAUUUGAAAAAAUGUUUAUUAGAAUUGAAAAAAAAGUUCAUCCAAUUUAGAAAAAGUUCAUUAAAUUUAUAAAAAGUUCAUAGAAAUUGCAAAAAAGUUCAUGGAACUGAAAAAAAAAGUUCAUAAAUCAAAAAAAGUUCAUCCAUUUCAAGUCAAAUGUUCAUUAAAUUUCGGAAAAGUUCAUCAAUAUUCAAAAAAGUUCAUCAAUCUUAAAAAAGUUCACAGAAUUUUCAAAAAAAAAUCGUCAGCCGGCGCCUAGAUGGGCCGGCCCAUUUACAGACGCCACAGGCGCCAGUUGACAAAAAUGCACGUUAACUGGCGCCUGCGGCGCCAAAUAGGAAAUGCCCGCCCCUGCGGUCUGGCAGCAUAUCCUAUUUGGCGCUUCAGACGCCUGUUAUAGCCCAUUUUGCAAGCGGUCGCCUGAAGCACACCCCUACUGUCAGUUGGGCAGGCCUGUUUUGACUUUUUUUCUUUAUUUUCCUGUUAAAGAUCAAAAAGGGUGUGGCCGCAAGGUUUGAGCUAAGGACCUUUCUGUUUAGAGUAUAGCAGUAACAACUAGGCCAACUCGAUCGAUUGGGCUAAACCACUUUUUUUCUCUCUUUUAUCCUCUUCAGUUAGCGGAACUUUUUUCUUUUUCUUUUCUUUUUUCAUGGAAUGAUUUUGUUCAGUAUUUUCUUUCAUUUUCCUUUUUUGCUAAAUGUGUGAACUUUUUCUUCAAAUUAGGUUUAUAUCGAUGAGUUUUUUUUCAAAAUACGGAAUAGAUUAACUUUUUUCAAAAAUUGAUGAAUUUUUUUUCAAAGUUGAUGAGCUUCUUUCAAAAUUCAUGAACUUUCUACACAAUAAAUGACUUUUAAAUUAGAUGCUUUUUUGUUUUUCAAAUCAGAUGAACUUAUUUUCAGAAUAGAUGAACCUUUUUCAAAUUUGAUGAAUUUUUUUAUAAUUUGAUUAACUUUUUUUCUUAAAUUGCAUGAACUUCUUCCAAAUUCGUGAACUUUUUCAAAUUCGAUGACCUUUUUUCAAUUUGAUGAAAAAAUUCAAAUUGGUGAACUAUUACCUUUUUGCAAACUUUUUCAAUUGGUACCACCUUUUUUUUUAAUGAUUAUUUUUAAUUGUGAUUUUUGUGAAUGAUUUUUCAAAUUUAUGUUUUCUUUUAUUCAAGUAAUUUAUACCAGGUAUAUAAUACUACUAAAUGUUUUUAAGUUUUGUACUGACAGAAGGGUCAAAUAGCAUUUCCUCUAGUAAUCAACAGACUGAGUUCCGUCGGGUGGUUAACGUGUUAGGUAUUGACUUUGGCUGCGGGAGUUAGAUAACCACCCCGCCUGAUAUACCUGAAGCUUUUUCCUUGUCGUGGUGCGAGCAAAUGAUUUGGGGCCACGUCCCAGUACGGUCGUCUGUGAGCGCCAGCCAUAGUUUAAAAAACCGGACCGAACCACCGGUCGAACCAGAAAAAAUCGGAACCGAUGCUCGUGUCGGGUUUUUAAGCACAAAAGACUGACCUACAAUUAGACCGGUGAGAACCAGUCAAAUCGGCCGUUUUUUGGUGAAACCGGUUGAUAAACUGUGCGGGCGAACCGGUAUAGGGAGAAAUUCAGAAAAAUAUUCCUACAGGUAGUGGGAUUUGAUCCAGGCAUGGGCAUUGUCCUAUCCUAGGGUAGAUAACCACCUCAACAACGCUUCUGUGUUGUCUAAUAGAGGAAACCAUUGCAUUUAACCUAAAUUUGCAUAUAUUAUUACUCUAAAUAUAUAUUUUUUUAACUGUAAAAUCCAGUAAUCAAACCGGUGAACCAGCGGUCCGACCAGUAAAAACCUGAACCUAAUGCCUUAUCGGUUCGAUCACUGGUUUGGUUUUUAAACUAUGGUCCUAGCGCGCGUAACAGGCGCAAAAUACGCUGAUUAGGUCUCACUUAAUACGCUGAUUAGAGCACGUAUUAAGGUCUCGCCGAAUACGCUGAUUAGGUCUCGCUUAAUACGCUGAAUAGGAGGUCCCCUAUUUUCGUCUCGCUGAUUUUUUUCAGCGAGACGAAAGCUCCCUCAAAAAAAUCAGCAAGACGAAAAUAGUGAACCUCCUAUGUUGACGCAUUUUGCGUCAAACAGCAGCUCGACGCACAGGGGUGACGCUUGACUGGGCCGGCCCACCAACCCCAUCCGACAAAAAGAGCUGAAAACCAGCAGCGAGUAGCAGGAAUUGAUCCCAUGACAUCAGACUCCAACCACGAGCCAUUAGCCACUACAAUACACACCACCAUCUGAAGAUAAAAAGUGCAAAAAUAUAUAAGAACAGACAGCAGCGUUGAGAUUUGGGAAACAUUUUGAAAAUAUUUCUUGAAAAUUGCGAGCAGUUUCAAAAUGCCGCUUUUUUCGUAUUCCAUCUUUUUGGAAAAGUGAAGAUGUUUUUUAAUUCUGAUUUAAAAAUGAAACAUGAACAAAAUUUGCAAACCCCAAACAGAUUUCAAAACACGAACAAUUUUCAAAAAUGUUUCUGAAAAACAAACAAAUUACGAAAAACACGAACAUCUUUUGAUAUCACGAACAUUUUUUAGUUUUUUUAAAAAUGGAAAGCAGGACAUUUUUUUAAUUCAGCACCAAAAAAAUUAAAACAGGAACUUUUUUUAAAAUGCGAACAAUAUUUGUAUUGUGCGCUUUUUUGGAAACGUGAACAAAAUUUUAAACAUGGGAAUAUUUGUUGAAAUUGUGAAUGUUUUUUCAAAAAUGAACAUUUUUCUAAAAUGGUGAACAAACUUUCAAAACAAGAAUAUUAUUUUAAAUUCCUGAACAUUUUUUUAACAUGAACAAAUUUCUAGAACUAUGAAAACUUUGAAAACAAGAACAUUUUUUGAAAUUGUGAACAAAUUUUAUAAAUAAGAUUUUCUGAAAUUAUGAACGGAUUCUGAAAAUGAUAAUUGUUUUUGAAAUUCAUGUAGAUGUUUUUAAGCAUGAACAUUUUUUGAAAAUGUAAAUAAUUUUUAAAGGAAGAACAUUUUUUUAUAAUUUCAACAAAAGCGUUUAUUUUAAAUCAGGAACAUGUUUUGAAAAUCAUAAACAUUUUUUAACGCACAAACAUUUUUUGGAAAGUUAUGAUUAUUUUGAACAAAAGCAUUUGCAACAAUUUAUGAAAACAAGAACAUUUUUUGGAUUUAUGAACAUUUUUUGAAAAGCGACCAUUUUUGAAAUUUCGAAUAUUUUUUAAAGGCAAGAACAUUUUUCUAAAUAGAAGAAAAAUUUCCGAACAUGAACUUAGUUUAAAAAAUAUAAAAUAACCUUGAAAAGGAAAAAAACAGAAAAUGAAAAAAAAGAAGAAAAGAAACAGAAACAGAAACAAAAAACAAAAGAAAACAGAAAAACCAAUAACAAAACAAAAAACCGGUUCAGGGAACCUUCUAGAUGGUUCCCAAAACCGGCUGGCUAGGUGCGACUGUACGCGCAAUAACUGGGCCAGCCCAUCGCGUUAAACCACUUGACCAACCACAGUUUGUUGAAAGCAGGAGGAAAUAGCUCUAUUUGACUCUCUCACCAUAAAUAUUAAACAUAUAGUACUAUUAUCUAUCGGCUAUAAAUUAUUGAAUAAAGAAAAUAUAAAUUUGCAAAGGCAUUCACAAAAACCACGAAUUGAUAGGAAUCAAAAUUUUGAAAAGGUUUGUACCAAUUGAAAAAGUUCGCAAAAAUGGAAAAAGUUCAGUGAAUUUGAAAAGAAGUUCACAGAAUCUGAAAAAAAUUCACCGAUUCUGAAAAAAGGUCAUCAAUUUCAAUAAAAAAAGUUCAUCAAGUCUGAAAAAAAUUUCAUCAAUUUGAAAAUAGUUCAUCAGAUUUGGAAAAAGUUCAUCUAAAUUGGAAAAAGUUCAUCGAUUUUGAGAAAAAGUUCAAACAAAAUGAAGAAGUUCAUCUAAUUUGAAAAAUAAGUUAAUCGAUUUUGAAAAAGGUUCAUAAUUUUCUUUUAAACAUUCAUGAGUUUAAAAAAAUCAGUUCAUGGAUUUUGAAAAGAAGUUCAUCUAUUUGAAGAAAACAAUUACGGAUUUGGAAAAAGAAAAAAAGAAAAGGACAGUGAAAAAAGAAAAACGGAAAAACGGAAAACAGGAAUGGAGAAAUGGAUGAAAAGCGUGUACUGGCGCGGAAUUUUUGCACCUUUCUUCAGAGUUUAGAAAACAGAAGAAAAAUAAAUAUGGGCCGGCCCACGAGUAGUUGCUUGGCUAGAAGGACGGGGUGAUUCAUCGUCAAAUGCUAGAGAAGAGGAAGCUUGGGGCCGUCUAUGGCAGCUGAAAGUCCCAUCAAAGAUCAGAGUUUUUCUGUGGCGUCUCGCUCGACACUCCAUACCAACUACGGAUGUCCUACACAGACGAAACAUGGCGACGCAAAGUGCGUGUCCGCUGUGUGGAUGCCAAGACUCGUGGAGACAUGCUCUACUGUCAUGCACUAUGUCGAGGUGCAUCUGGGCCUUGUCGGAUGAAACACUUGUGUCGCAGAUAACAGGGAACGAGGAACCUCAUGCAAAGAACUGGUUGUUUGAACUCCAUGAGACACUAGACCACGUGAGCUUCACGAGAAUGGUCGUUACUCUAUGGGCUGUUUGGUACGCGAGGCGGAAGGCAAUUUAUGAACAUUUGUUCCAAAACCCUCACCAGACAGUAUCUUUAGUAGACUCUUAUCUUCAGGAGCUACAACAAAUCCCGACUGCUAAACAAACUGUGCAAGUACGUGAAGUUUCAGGGCAGCAGCGACGUUGGAACCCAUCUCCAGCUGGGAUUGUUAAAAUCAAUGUUGAUGGUGCACUGGCAAGGCAUAAGCGACUGGGAGUGGCUGCUGCAGUCUGCCGAGACUCCAACGGUAAUUUUCUGGGCUCGUCAGCAGUUGUCUUUAAAGGAAUUAGAGACCCUCUUAUUUUGGAAACAUAUGCGUGCCGAGAAGCCCUAUCUUUGGCGGAGGAUCUCUACGAGCAAGAUAUCAUGGUAGCUUCAGACUGCCAAGGUGUGGCGCAAGAUAUCAAUGAAGGCACAGGGGGUGUCAAUGGGGCUGUUAUACAUGAAAUAAUAGACCGUAGAGCGAGUUUCUCUUCUUGCUCGUUUGUUUCCGAGCGAAGGAACAAUAACUUCAAGGCUCAUAAUCUUGCUAAAUUCGCUUGUAAUUUAGAUAUAGGGAGGCAUAUUUGGUUGGGCACUCCUCAUGACCCAAACCGUGUACCUAUGAACAUUGUUUUGAAUCAAUAAAGCGAGCGAGUUUUCUCAAAAGAAAAGGUACGAACCGGCGCCUGCAGAGCUGAAUAGAAAGCGCCCGAAAAUAGCUCUCGCAUAAAGAUAUAGUCGCUGCGUGCAAGCAGGGCCAGAUUGCUAGCCGGUGAGGUACUGGAAGGGCGAGCGACUCGACGGGCAAAUGGAAAAAAAUCCAGGACCAAGAGUUUCCCAGUACGCGAGCACUUGUGUGGAAUACUUCCUUGUGUAUCUGAGACAGAAAAUCCCUAUACAAGAUGACAUAAAUGCAGUUUGUUGAUCCAUAGGCGCCGUGCACUGAAGGAGCUUUUCACUAGGCCUGGACUACAUCCAGCCUUCGGCUCCAUCAAAACUACUCCCUCCAUUCAUAAAUAUAAGUCUUUGUAAAGAUUUCACUAUAGACUACAUACAGAGCAAAAUUAGUGAAUCUACACUUAAAAUGCAUCUAUAUACAUCUGUAUGUGGUUCAUAGUGAUAUCUCUACAAAGACUUAUAUUCCCUCCAUCCGGAAAUAUUUGUCCUAAAAAUGAAUAAAAUGGAUGUAUCUAUAACUAAAAUAAGUCUAGAUACAACCAUUUCAAGGACAAGUAUUUCCGGACGGAGGGAGUAUUUAGGACGGAGGGAGUAGUUAUCAGGUCAUUUAGGAAGCACCACAGUUUGCAUAAUUUCAGGACGUGCUAUUGACUUCAAUAUAGGCUGAAAUUCUAUCUACAGCUCAAUAAUACGUACAUACUCCCUCCAUCCGGAAAUACUCAUCGGAGAAAUACAUAAAAAUGGAUGUAUCUAAAACUAAAAUACAUCUAGAUACAUCCAUUCCUCCGACAAAUAUUUCUGGACGGAGGGAGUACAUUGAUUCUUGCGUAUAUACAAACAAUGCGGUGCAUUACAAACAAGUAUUACAACAGACAGCGGGAACCAUGGCUAGCGACUGUAGAUGAAAUAGGGCACGCGAUGGCAGCUGCUAUCCAGAGGCAGCUCCAAUGGUAUUCUCUAUGUGCCGCUUACAUAUGUAUAUUUUGCAACAAUGCCCCUCAGAGGAAGAAGGGAAAGCCCUUCUGUGAUUGUGGCUUGGUGCACUCUGAAUUGGCCCAUCCGAUCUGCCUCCGCUCAUUGUCAUACACAACUAGUUUGCCGCGCAGAGAAACAUCUGAAUGGAGAACCAAGAAAUGAACAUUGCAAGUUUGACGUAAUUAAUCGUGUCACUGCACAGCAAGAUUAGCGAUUGGGGGGUAAGAGAAGAAUCUAUACCUCCGACAAUUAUGGUUGACCCAUGAUUGAUCUCUGUUCCAUUUAGCAGCCCCAGACAAACAUUGCCCUUUUCCUGGAACAAGUCGAGCAAGCAGCCAAGCACAAUAAACAUAAGCAUGAGUUCUCAGCAUGGAACUCGUGUUAGAGAUUCAGAUCGAUGUUACAAGACCUAACAGAAUUUUAUGGAAAAUACAUAGAAGACUUACACUGAUAAUCAAGUAAUCAUCGGGAACAAUGGUGAAUGUUUUCGGCACGACAAACCAUCUUCUCCCAAAAUGAAGGUUCAAGGGCUUGAAGAAGGACCUGGAAAUCCCGAUAUGAUUAGAAAAAGAGAAAGUAGUUCUUUUUUACGGGGGCUUGCCUGUCGAACUUCCGCCCCUAAAAGAGACAUCUUAUAGGAGUAUUACCUAACAGAAAAAUCAGCUUUCCAGCAUAGAGGUAAUGUCGUAUCUGAGCUAUCCUGGACAAAACUGGGAGAGUCAUCCUUAAUCUGAGAUGUUACAAGACAAAGUUAGUAAAUGAAAUUGGAUAACUUCACCCAAACGAAUAAUUAAUGAGACUUACAGCAUCAAUAAGGUUUUUAUACAUUUCCUCUGGAAGGUAUGUAUAUGAGCUCCCGCUAUCAAAAAUCACUUGAACAGAAUUUCCUGCGUGCCCAUGCAUGCUGAGCUCCUGAUCUCCAUAAUUUACUUUCUGGGCUUCUGUGUGGUAUAAGUUGCUGACAAUAUUGAAAACCAAAAUCAUCAAAGAACAGCGCAAGGUUUUCAAGGAUUAUUGCAACAAAAAUACAAUUUCAUUGUGUGUGUGAUUUAGGAGCCAAAGAAAAAUGCUAAUAAUGGCAGUGCAUGCAGUUAAACUUUUGAAAAGGAGGAUGCAACUUACUCUGGACCACCUCGAAUAGGAGCCCAUGUCAUUCCCCAUCUUGGUACAUAAUCAUCACCCAGAAACAUGUACCCCCCACCAUUUGUUUCUCUAGUGAUACAAUGACCGAAAAUGUUGGAAAUAAUUCCUUUGCUGGCCAGCUGACUAGGAAGGCUUAUUGCUGCACUGCUAAGACCAAGAAUCCCAUCGGUCUUUGCUGGUGAGGACAAAAGCUGGCCUUGCUGAUCAUAUGCACACCUAUUUGGUAGAUAAAAACCAGUAAGAUACUUAGAUCAUUUAAAAGCAUUUGCUCUAAUGUAUCAGGAAUGUGCAAAAGGGUCAUCUCCUAAAAGGUCUAACCGUACCCAAAUACAAAGUCUAGCUUUUCCCUUCCACCAUUUGUAGCGAUUAGAUGCAUAUCAUCCUUUGCAAGAACACCCAUAGACGAGCUUCUAUCGGCAUAUUCAAUCUCAUAAUCACAUUGCUUGCAAGUUUCGCAGUAGUUCUGAUCGCCUUGCAACUCUUGACAUAGCAAAUCCCUGGGAGGGACUAUCUUUUCUUUUGCUGGCUUAUAUAAAGGAUGAGGUCCCUUCAAUUGCGGUACAUAUUUUUUUAGAGCAGUUGAAUAAACUUGGAUAGAAUAACGCGGCUAAUCACAAACUGAUAUACUCAAACAUCCAGAUUUGUUAAAUUUCUUACUUGGGCACAGUUUGUGCAUGGUGCAUCACACUGAAUCCAUGUUAAAUCACUUCCAGUAUCAACAUCAAGGAAAUAAGGUCUUGGUGGAUUGCCAACAAAGAUAGAUGUGUAAUACUGCCUGCAAUCGGGGUAAGAUAAUAUUAGCCUCAACAGCUGCAGACCCAGCUUUAUAGAAAUCUAAAAUAAGCAGCGCAUGGCUUACUAUCAGACACAUUAGCAUAAAUAGUACGCCUUUUAUGGAUAGAGAACAGUCCAUCGAAUAUAGAGAUUAUUCUGGUAAAUAGGCUAUAAAUAUAUCAGACACAUUAGCAUAAAUAGUAGCCUUAACUAAAAAUGACAGAUCCUCAGACCUUAAGAACUGUCUGCUUAUGACCUUGGGAGCAGAAUUGCAUUUCUGGAACAUAAAAGGACUUUCUAGCUUUGAUGUAUAUACUCAUUACAGCCUACACCAGUACAACUAAACUAACUACACCUUAAGUUCUUCAUAUAUGUACAAAUAACUUUGAAAAAAAACCGUUGGAUGAAGUCGAUCAGACGGUAGAGGUGGCCAAUCCGAGUGAGGUUGACCAUUGGAUAUUCUCUUUACUACACCAGAUUCUGCCAUGUGUACUACCUAGAAGAUUCUAUGGCUGGGCUUAAGCCCUAUAGACAUUUUGCACAAAACUUAAACACACUUCUACUUUGCUCUAGACUCUUCCAUAUCUAGACUCUCUUAACUUCUUUUCUAUCUAACUAUCAUCCAUUUUUACUUGUGGCUAUGGAUGUACCUUCAUAAAUCAUACUCCUACUUAUCUUUCCAGAUACAGAAGUAGCUAUUCUUAUUAUUUUAAUAUGAUAUACCCAAAAAUACACCUAGACAAAACACACUGGAUAUAUUUUACCUGGGUUUUGCAUCUUAUACUUCAUGCAUAUGCCUAAAAUAAGUUCAUCUGUCUAUCAUAAUAAAAAGUAACAAUAUACCGAUCUUAGGUUGUAAUUUGAUUAUCUUAACUCUCACAUGGCAAUGGACGUAUAAUUUACUAGUAUAUGGAACAGAAAUGUGCAAUUUGAUGAAAGCCAAACUUCUAACCUGUUUUAGUACUUACUAAAUCCAAAUAUCAUAACAUCACCCAAACAUUUUCUUGGGAUCAGAUUGAACCCAAUUUUGUGAUAUAAAAGCAUUAAGAGGGAUCUAAAUUCUAAAAGUUCGCUUUGUCCAUCCAGUCCCAAAGAGGGAUCUAACCUGUUUUAGUACAUCUGAUCAUCAAAAGCACCCCCACCCCCCCUUCUUGAAAUUGAAUCAUAAGGCAACGGAGUAAAAUUUACUCUUAGAGUCAAAUCAAACUUGUGAAGAAUUGGUACGCACCCAUCAGGGAACACAUUGCCCUUGAUCGGGAGCAGAACCGUGGAGUUGGUCCCAGCCGAUGUCGCCCCCUUGACAUCCAGCUUCUUCGUGAUCUUCCUGCCGCCGCCGUCAUCGACCCUCUUGGCAGCGAGCUUGAUGUCGCCGAAUUCCCGCAGCGCGCGGCCCUGGUGCGCCUUGGGGGCCUUGGGGUAGAGCUGGAACAGGAACGACUUGGUCUCGUUCCGCUCCUUCUGCGCCUCCUCCUCCUCCAUCCCAAGGAACUGCACGGCCACGUCCGAGUAGAAGCUGUAGUAGGCCGCGAGCGCGAGCGCGCCCAGCACGAGGACCAUCGCGCCCGCCCGCCGCGAGACCGCCCGCCUCGAUCGCCUGGCCUCCCUCCCCGCGGCAGCCAUCGGAGGCCCCCGAUGCGGCGGCGGGGCCGGAGCGCCAGCGCCCGGCUCGUCGGUGUAGGUGAAGGCGGUGAUGGUCUUGCCCUUGGAGGACUGGUCGGGGGGCGGGAGGGUGAUGAUGACCACGCCGUGGAGCUGCGGGGGCUCCGGCGGCGGGGGAGGGGGCGGCGGCGGCGGCAUCGGCAUCUCCGGUCGGGAUCCCGGCGGCGCUCCGGCGGGGCGGGGUCAGAGGCGGCGGGGAGGGAAGGCCAUCGGGGGCAAGUGAUGAGGAAACUGGCUGGGGGAAGGGGGGAUGGUUUUGGUGAGCUCGGCGGACUGUGAUUGGUUCGUUGACUUGACUUUUUGCACAGAAGGGCAUGAUUGGAAUUUCUCGGCAGAUAAUUCUUGGAGCUGCCAUGAUUUUUGUUAACGUUGGCGACGCGCAUUGGCUUACGCACGGGAGUGAACAUUGUUUCUGAAUAAUAAUAAUAAUAAUCGCAGGUGACAUGUGCGUUUAUAUAAGUUGCCGAAAGUUUAGCGAUGAGACCAAAACCAUGUGCUGCAAAUACUGCUUAGUGCCAAGAAGAAGGAAAACAGAGCGAGCCUACGUUGCAAUGUUGAACUAGGAAAGUUCAUAAUUAUAAAAAUCAGGACGUGGACGUGUAGAUGUAACAUGGGCCAUGUUCGAGUGUUGUUAAUGUGGCAUCGCAAGGCGUGUUCCAAGAAUAGGAAGACCUUGAAUUGUAGCCCCUCCAAUCUGACCUCUUCUUUGUGCAUUUUAAUAUUUUCGUUUUUUUGUUCAGAACGAUACACACGAAGCGUUAGGAGGAGGUCUCACGAGGCGACUAGAAACGCUAGCCACCAAAUAUGGCCCCUCUCACCACCGCCAGAGUCCGUUGCCGGGGCAAAGCCGGCAUGGUGCGGGCAGCGGGCGGCGAGGUUCUGAUCGCGGGGAGCUUGGUGGACCGGUGGUUGGUGAGCUGCUGUGGCGUGCGCCUGUUGAUGCUACCGCGAGGAGUGUGUUGACAGGGUCUAGUUUUUGAAACUUAUUAGAAAAUUAUUCAUAAUUCUCAUAGUUAGAUGUAUAGGCCGUACAUGCUUCCUACCAUAGUGAUCAAGGAGAUGGAGCAACACGAGCAAUCUUACGGGGGACAGGUAUGGAAUUUUAUUGCCGCAUCAUGUUCAUUUGUCCCCUAUGCUUAGUCGCUGAUGAUGGAGUCAUUGGCAUGAAAGAAGGAUUACCUUUGGCGUCUUCUUUAGGCUUCCAACAUAUUGUGACGGAAUCGGACUGUUUAGAAGUAAUUGAUGCUUGUGGUGAAGGAAGAACAUCAGUGACGGAGCUAGCCGAAGAUCAUUGGGGGGGCGAAACAAAAAUNNNNNNNNNNNNNNNNNNNNNNNNNNNNNNNNNNNNNNNNNNNNNNNNNNNNNNNNNNNNNNNNNNNNNNNNNNNNNNNNNNNNNNNNNNNNNNNNNNNNNNNNNNNNNNNNNNNNNNNNNNNNNNNNNNNNNNNNNNNNNNNNNNNNNNNNNNNNNNNNNNNNNNNNNNNNNNNNNNNNNNNNNNNNNNNNNNNNNNNNNNNNNNNAAGAGUCUAAUCUAAGCCUUUCUAAAUAAUUUUUCUUCAGCAAUUGAUCAAAGGCUGGGGGGCAGCGGCCCCCCGGCCCCAACAUAGCUCCGCCAUUGAAGAACAUGGUGUCAUGAAGGAGCUACAGUGUUUACGGACUGCGUUGAUUUGAUCGUGGAGAUAGGCAAUGCGCAGCUUACUCAUUGUCAUCGGAAGGCCAAUGAAGUCGCACAUGAAAUUGCAAGCAUAGCUAUGAGAACUAUCAUUCUCAAAACAUAACAAAAAAAAUUUAUGAGAACUAUUGGGUAGAUGAUUCUCCAUCUUUUAUUAAUGUGUCUUUUGUGAACAAUGUAAGUGUUCUUAUUUGAUCAAAAAAGAUGUAUCGCCCGUCGAUAUGCUGUUCAGGUUUUGCAUGCGGAAAUAAGUGUAGCCUCGUAACCUUCUUUUGCUGUGGAAAAAGUCUAAAACAAACCUUAAACUUGUAGACGAAAGCUAAAUCAAAACCUGAACUUGUAAUCCCGGAAAUCCGCACACCGAACUCUUCAAUCCCGGUCUAUUUUAAACCUUGAAGGUAUUUAAAUGGUAUUUGCUGACGUGGCAAGGGCUGGGUGGACACUAGGACGAAUUGGGCUGGCCCGUUAGCACAAUCGCUCGCUUGCUCUACCCUGUUUAGCUUUUUCGUUUUUCUUUCUUUGUUUUUUCAUUUUUGUAAAGAUAAUAAAUUCUAGUUUACAUUUUCGUAAUCACAAUACACACCUUUUAGAACUACACGUACCCACUUUGUCUUCCCCUAAGGGGUACUCACUUGUCUUAGGAGUGACAAAAAAUACCUUCAAGAACAUGGUGUCAUGAAGGAGCUACAGUGUUUACGGACUGCGUUGAUUUGAUCGUGGAGAUAGGCAAUGCGCAGCUUACUCAUUGUCAUCGGAAGGCCAAUGAAGUCGCACAUGAAAUUGCAAGCAUAGCUACGAGAACUAUCAUUCUCAAAACAUAACAAAAAAAAUUUAUGAGAACUAUUGGGUAGAUGAUUCUCCAUCUUUUAUUAAUGUGUCUUUUGUGAACAAUGUAAGUGUUCUUAUUUGAUCAAAAAAGAUGUAUCGCCCGUCGAUAUGCUGUUCAGGUUUUGCAUGCGGAAAUAAGUGUAGCCUCGUAACCUUCUUUUGCUGUGGAAAAAGUCUAAAACAAACCUUAAACUUGUAGACGAAAGCUAAAUCAAAACCUGAACUUGUAAUCCCGGAAAUCCGCACACCGAACUCUUCAAUCCCGGUCUAUUUUAAACCUUGAAGGUAUUUAAAUGGUAUUUGCUGACGUGGCAAGGGCUGGGUGGACACUAGGACGAAUUGGGCUGGCCCGUUAGCACAAUCGCUCGCUUGCUCUACCCUGUUUAGCUUUUUCGUUUUUCUUUCUUUGUUUUUUCAUUUUUGUAAAGAUAAUAAAUUCUAGUUUACAUUUUCGUAAUCACAAUACACACCUUUUAGAACUACACGUACCCACUUUGUCUUCCCCUAAGGGGUACUCACUUGUCUUAGGAGUGACAAAAAAUACCAGCAGACGCAUAAAUAAGUUACACGUAGGAGGACUUGAACUCAGGAUAACACACUAGCAAAGACCCGCACCUAACCAGUAACCCCGACGGCUGCUAGCGAUUAUAGACAGGGCUUCGUUUUAAAAAAACUAACAGAAGCGUUCAUAUAUGAAAACAUUCCUGGUUUUUUUAAAUUUUUCUGAAACAAAAUGUGAACAAUUUUGAAAUACCCAUUAUAAUGUUUUAACGCAAAUAAUUCAAGAAAUUCCAUUUUUUUCAAAUGUGACACGGUAACUUUUUUCCAAACACGUGUAUUACAUUUUCUUAAUGAUAAUAAAGAUUUUGCAAAAUUAUAGAACGUUUUAUUUCAUUGCGUAAUUUUUUUUAAAAAAUCAGGUAUGAACAUAAUUCCCCCAAAAAACAAAAAAAAAGAACAAAAAACUGAUUGUGUUUUAAAAGAUGGUUCUUUUGUCAAAAGUAUUCGGAAUUUGAUGUAAAAGUUCGCACUUUAAAAAAUGUUCGGCCAUUUAAACAAAAUACGUUUAAAAAAAUUGCUCUAAAAAAUGUUUUCAAUGCCGACUUUGCGGUCUGUUAUUAACUAUGUUGAGCUUCGAAUUAUAUAUCACUAACAGACACGUACUCAGGUGGCUGGCAGGUGGGGGGCAGCAGCGCCUAGUCGCAAGUUCAAUACCCCGAAGUGUCUACUUUUGUUUUCAAGUCGCGCCUUAUAGAAACGAAUUGAAGAAAAGCAUUACUUCACGCCCGAUGGGCCGGCCCAAUCGCGUCUGCAGCCAACAAUCCUGGUAUUUGAUCUGCCACGUCCACAAUCCCUGUUUGGGAACGUUUUCAGGGUUUAAAACAGACCGGGAUUAAAGAAUUUGGUGUGCUGAUUCCCGGAUUUUAAGUUAAGGGUUUGAUUUGACUUUUGCCUACAAGUUUAAGGUUUAUUUUAAACUUUUUCCUUUUGCUGUAGACCGCCCGGUCACCCUGGCACGGUGGGAGCUAGUUAGUUCUAUUCAUUUUUUACCACAUGUGACAAAGUGACUCCUAAAGAGCUAAACUGGUGACAGUUUUCAGGCUUGCCUUAUUGAUUCUUCUUGGCCGAUCUCGACGAGCUAUCGGACAGUGAAUUUUUUUGUUUCUGCGAAGCAUAUACAGUCCGAAAAAACUUGUCCCUCAAAUUGGUGCUAGACACAUCCAUUUGAAGGAGGACAAGCUUUUUCGGACAAAGGGAGUACGUGCUAUGAUGAUAAUUUGUUGGUUGUGUGACUUGGCAUAUUUCAGCAAGAGAAACGCAAAGGUAGAAUUUGGGUUAAGAUGUUGAUGGCAGCAUGCCUGCCUCAAUUACGAUGAUCUGAGUUCUUUUUUUAGAAAGGAAGAGGGAAGACCCUCUAUAUUGAGGGAUGCACACAAGCAUAUAUUAUCGAUUAUUGAUAAUAUCAAACAAAUCAGCUUACAAAGAGGAACAUCAUAAAAAUUGAGUCCACCCAUAGGACAUGGGACAUGCCUCACAGCAUCUCCAUGUCAUACCACCAAACCUACCACAAUAUAUUAGAAGAAAAAGGAUGCAAAGCUCCAAGACAACGACUUCAAGAAGGAAUCGCGGCUGUUGGUUGGUCCAAACAGAUGUGUCGGACCAAUGGGAUAUCACCCUUGAAGGGGUCGAAACACUUUCAAUAAGGUAACAACAUAGGCAAUUCAAUAAGGUAACAACAUUGACAUUGCAUGAUGAAGCAACAAAGCAAGAUCCUGAGUUUUCACCCGAAGAAAAUACAUCCACGAUGUUUGUCGCCAUAGUCAGCACCCACCACUCUACCUGUUCACACGGAACUAGCCGGCCAAAGGAAAAAAAUGAAAAUUACCAAAAGUAAAGGCGUUGUCACGUCGCUUACCAUCAUUACCGCACCAUCAUCUCAAUUGAUGGUUGUUGUAUGGUAGCCGUCAUCAUGAAAUGCACCAUCUCGACAACUAUCAUCGGUAGCAGUGGGAGAGGGUUGCGCCUCGCACAACCACCCGAUGUGACCAACCCAAUGCCCGAUGCAUCGCGCCAAAUCCAUCUGAUCUGGCAAACCUCACCACCACCUAGCUACACCAACCCAUGUGCCACCGCAUCUGAUCACACACAUAGGAAUGUCAAAUAUGCCUCUGACCAUCACCGACGAGACAACCCUCCCCUAGGCAACGACGACAGUUGUUCUGCUCGUUCACCGCUGCCGGUCACAUCACCUCACACUCGACGCACUAUCGAACCCGACUAUGGCUAUAGUAAUCUUCGCACGACCUCGCCAAUCACCAACGGCGCUUUGACCUCUUCAACCACACCGUCAUUGGGGACGAGAGGGCACAAGUGCCCGCACAACCUUUGGCCUAUGCAUCGACGGCCACCCACCUGGCCCGGCGCAUCUUGAUAGAAAGCUUUAGCAAACAAAAUGUUAUAGGGAGAUUAUGCAAGCAAGUGAUCCAACUUUGCCUUGUGCCCCUAUAGUCAGUGGGCCCAUUUUGUGCCUUCCUUCUAAGAAGAGUGAGCUAUCCAAUCCUCUAGCCCUUUCUGUGGCAUGCAUGCAACAAGAGGCCUGUAGAAUAUUUUCCUUAAACAUUUUUGCCUAACAAAAUAACCGCACCACUAUAUGAUUAACGUCUUGGGCAGUGAAGUGGCUCACAAUUCUGGCAAAAGAAAGGUACGGCGUUGAUCUACUUGAGCGCUCUCACGUGACAAAUUGCAAGCCAGCUUUUACACCCAUGCGUGUUCAUGAGAAGUUCUCCCAUUACUUUUUAAAAAAAAAAUUGAGGAAAGUUGUCCCAUGAUAUUGGAGAAGCUAAUAUUCUAACCACCGACUCAGGCGGAUCUCCCCUUCACCGUGAAGGUGGACAGCCUACAUAUUUGGGAACACUGGUAGGCUGCUACCAGGACCAAAGAUCCACUAGCGACUUCGUGGUUUUCUCCCAUCCUAAGCCAAGUCCUGCAACAAAGGCUUCUUUGGUGACUGGCUUCUACGAUAAUUAGGUGUUAGGUGUGAUAUACUUUGGGUCAUGGAUAAUCGUGCUUCUAUUAACUUUUUUUUUUGCCAGGGCUUCUAUCAACCAUUGAACGCAUGAAUACAUCAAUUUAGUUCCAUUCUCAGAAGCGGAGACAUUUAGUUCACAGCAGAAAUAAUUGAAAGACGUGAAAAAGUGCUUAUUAAAAUGUUACACACAUCAGGGGAUAAGAAAUAUAAUAACAGUAUAAUUCAACAUGUAAACCAAAAUCUUCAGAUUUAAACAAGUUCACAAUGCAACCAAGGGCACGUUCAGUUUGGUGGGGAUGGAAGAGAGCUGAGGGGUGUUAAAUCUUGGUUCACAGGAUAGGAAUUUUUUUUCUGUUGAGUCUUGCGUAAUGUUUAUUUUCCUUUGAAAAAGUUAGCAAUCCUGCAUAGGAAUAGGAAUCCCGUUCCUAUAAACCAAAGGGAAAUUUCCUAUAGAAAUCAUAUCCUACAGAAUUCCUAUGAAAUUCCUCCAAACCAGAGGUCUAAACCCUCUCCAACCCCCAUGGGGAGAGGAUUAACUGACAAAGGCCUAAACUAGCUUAUUACAUGAAAGGACCAUAAUAUCAUCCCAAAGAAGGGACAUUAAAUGAUCACCAACCUAGAGCACUAUAGGAUCAACAAUUGAAAACUGCAAUGGUGGAUAGGUUGGCAAUGCUGUAUGUGAAGCAACUUCCAAAUCAACAACCAAAAACAAGCAAAACCGAUAUAGCAAGCUAUUUCACAUGGAACAUGGCAUCUAAGAAACAUGCACAAGUCUUCAGUAUGUUUAAAUUUCAAACACUAAACAACGUCUUUAAGUUCUACAACCAUGGAGUAGCAAACUAAGCAGAUCACAAGGCUCUUCUAGCUGCAGGUGAUAUCUCUUAAGUUCUCAUCUAGCAUUGACCAUCCACAGGCUUACCCUGCAUAUGGAUGGUAGCGACCAGUAGCACCACCACCACUGCUGCUACCAUAGCCUCCCCUAGCACCAUAGAGUCCAGCCACGCCAGACCUAACACUAGGAUCGGCACUGGCACCUGAAGAGUCAUAACUAGGCCCAUAGCUAGACGUGCCAUAAGGCACAGCAUCACGCCCAUAUGCACCACCUAAACCACCACCAUAAGGCACAGCAUCACGCCCAUAUGCACCACCUAAACCACCACCAUAACUGCCACCAAAACGACUGGAGUAGAGCGACGAUUCUCCAUGAUGACCUCCAAAUGCUCCAUCAUAACCACCAUAGCCGCUACUAUAGUCACCAGGAUAAGCACUACUGUAGCUGCCAGGAACAUAAGCACUACUGUAGCUGCCAGGAACAUAAGCACUACUGUAGCUGCCAGGAACAUAAGCACUACUGUAGCUGCCAGGCCUAGCGCCAAAACCAGGUGAUUUAUAGGGGGCAAAGCGACCACCAUUGUUGUAACGGCUGGCAAAUCCAUCAUAACCAUCUGCAUAAGGAGAUCUCCUAG
Molecule: long non-coding RNA, 74383 nt
Filed under: Triticum aestivum (bread wheat)
Lineage: Eukaryota; Viridiplantae; Streptophyta; Magnoliopsida; Poales; Poaceae
Description: long non-coding RNA (TAES_LNC012337)
Rfam family: MIR1120/MIR1122 microRNA precursor family (bases 62795-62918)
Source: RNAcentral